This 76738-nucleotide long non-coding RNA is filed under the name Setaria viridis. RNAcentral's name for it is "long non-coding RNA (SVIR_LNC006242)". The record is from RNAcentral. Lineage: Eukaryota; Viridiplantae; Streptophyta; Magnoliopsida; Poales; Poaceae.
UUGCUCCUUCAUUCCUUCCCUAAUCCCUAGGUGUGUGUGGCCGAUUCUUCCAUUGCUUCAGCUGCUGCAGCUACCUAGCAACCACAAAGCACAAUAAUGGCCACCGCCCUCAGCAGCCUCCGCGCGCCGGCUUUCUCCGUCCGCGCCGCCCCGGCGCCGGCGCCGGCCACCGUCGCGCUGCCGGCCAAGGUCGCCCGCGGCGCCAGGCUGCGCGCGCAGGCCACCUACAACGUCAAGCUCAUCACCCCCGACGGCGAGGUGGAGCUCCAGGUGCCCGACGACGUCUACAUCCUCGACCAGGCCGAGGAGGAUGGGAUCGACCUGCCCUACUCGUGCCGCGCCGGCUCCUGCUCCUCCUGCGCCGGCAAGGUCGUCUCAGGCUCCGUCGACCAGUCCGACCAGAGCUUCCUCGACGACGGCCAGGUCGCCGCCGGGUGGGUGCUCACCUGCCACGCCUACCCCACCUCCGACGUCGUCAUCGAGACGCACAAGGAGGAGGAGCUCAUCUAAGAAGCUCGAUCACUACCUGCUACGCGCUUGCUAUAUCUAGUAUCUGUCUUGCUCUUGCAAGAGAUCGAGUUUGACGACGCCGGACAAUUCCCUUUCUUGUAUCAUGCAUGUCAGUGUCACCAUGAGACCUUGCAAUUAAGCAUCGGCAUCAGCAGCUUCUCCAUCGUUUGUUACUCUGCUUAUUGCUGGUCUCUGUAUCAUUCAUUUUUACUGCGGAUGCAUGAUAGGCUUCGCUCAAGUAAUUAAUAACGUUUUUCCUCUUUAUUUUUGUACAACCAAUACAUAUAUAUACUAUAUAUAUAUACAUAUAUAUACUAUAUAUAUGUGUGUGUGUGUGUGUGUACGUAUGUACCUGACUAAACGUGCUACGGAAAUGCAGCUUGAGUAGUCGUCUGAAUCUGAUGCUAUUUGUUAUGCCAUGCUAUAAAAUGAUUCAAAAGAAAGCAUGUGUGGACUUGGCUAGCUAGUUUAUCGUGACCACCAAGAUCAACGGGGAUAUAUGUGUGUGACAGAGUUACUCAAAUUUAAUUUAUUUUUGAAAUGUUUGUUCAAAAUUUUUUGUUGCUCUUGGAUAGAAACCUAAGGCCCAAACCAACAAAUUAUAACAUGUAUACAAAACUUCCUCAACAUGUGCCAACCCCCAUCCUCCCACACACCACACAAUCGCAAGCACCCCUCGCACCCUCUCUCCGCCUCUUGCCUUAGCCUACCUCAUCUCAAAGCUUGAGAGUUCCUUUACCCCUACCAGGUGCAUAGUCCCCCUCCAUGUCACUAUUCGUCGAACCCUACCUCAUAUCAAAGCUUGUGAGUUCCUUUGCCCCUACCAUGUGCAUAGUCCCCCUUCAUGUCACUAUUCGUCGAACCCUAUUCAAAAUGGAUUAAUUUGACAAUACUUCUCGUAUCUCAAUCUCCUGGAAGUGAAGCAAGAUUCAAUUGACAUACAACACGGUGAAUUUCCUUUGGAAUAUAGUGUUUUGGAGGUAGUCCCCUGGUCUUUAAAGAAAGCUCAAUUAGGGCUGCAACCUAGCCUAAGCUAGUAGCGACUGCAGACAGCACGCUGGAAGGUGGGACAAUGAGGGAUACCGUUAGGCUGGUUGGGAGGAGAUGCCCAACGGGAGGUGCUAGUCAUGGGGAAAUGUUGUGAGAACUGAGAAGUGCUGGUUAUGGGAGAAUGUCAUGAGAACUGAGAAGUUACAAGGAAGAUAAAAUGCAGAUUGAGAGGAGAUAGAAAAGAAAGCAAUCACUGGAUCCAAAUAUGAUGGCUGAGGUUGUCAAAUGAGAGGACUAGCUCAUUUGAGAUGCGACACUAUCCCCAUCCUCCCCCACACACACACACCAACACAAGCACCCUUUAGUAUCACGCUCACAACCUUCCUCCACCCCUUGUCUUACCAGGCCGAGGAUAAUUGGAUCUUCCUAGGGGAUUUCAAUUUCUACAUAUCUCUGGAUGACAUGAACAAAUUGGGUGGUAAUUUUCUGGAUACCUUGCUAUUUAAUGACGUCAUUGGGCAGCUGGGCCUCAUUGAAUUACCAAUUAAGUGAAGGACUUUUACCAGGAGCAACAUGCAGCAAGAUCCUUUACUUGAGCAACUUGAUUAGUUUUUCACCUCUGUUAACUGGACAUCCUCAUAUCCCAACACCAUGGUUUUACCACUUGCUAAGCCCAUCUCAGAUUAUGUACCACUUGCUUAUAAGCAAUUGUGUUCAUUGGUGUGGACUCAAUAACAGAUGCUGGGCCACUAACAAGUUAUCACCUACUGCUAAAGAGUUGAGCUCGAUGUUGUUAUCAUUUUAUCGGAGUGAAUUGAGACUUGAAAGUCCAUGUUCGAUUAUAUGACGUCUAGUAUUUACUUGCUUUUAAGGACGCAAACAAGAAAAACAGGAUAUGCAAUAGAAAAAUUAGAGUUAGUCUCACCCUAGGGUUCGAGUUGCCGAUCCCUGGCAACAGCACCGGAAAAGCUUGUUGGCGGCAGUUAGCGCAUCAAUUUGUGAAUCACAAGCGCACGGAUUAUCGUAACUUUUUCCUUAGAGUAUUCCAUCUAAAGUUUAUCAAUCCGUAGUUCAGUAGCGAACUGACUAGAGUUUUCCACCUAAUCUAACGGAGCAGGCACUAGUUUUUAUACUGAUACUAUAUCGAUGGUUAGCUUUCCAUGCCAUAGUUUUUGCAGCAGGCUCGCUAGUUUUUGCUGACCACCCACCCACCCAUCACUCAUCACCAGGGAGAGAAGAAAAGAAGAGAAAGAAAAGAAAAGAGAAAAGAGAUCCAUGGUUGGCAUGGAAAGCUAACCAGCGAACUGACUAAUUUUUCAUACAUGUAAAAUUACGUGUAAUUUUAGAUCUCUGGCCAGAUACACAAAAAUUGACGAGAACCACAUGAUACCGCCAACUGCUAAGGACCGAAAGAAGCAUAUGCCCUGGAUCGAGGCCGUGGCCUCCACAUGCCACGCUCAACCAACCAAUGGGCAGUGACUGGCGCACACAGUCUAUUUUCUACUCCUUCCGUUCAUGUUUGUAUAUAAGGCGUAUGCGCAUAUCAAAUGUAAAAGUUUGCUAUCUUUGACCAAUAAUUUAACCAAUAUUUUUUUAUUUUUAUGGUAUAAAUUUGAAAUGGUUGGAUUUGCAAUCAAAUGUAUUCUCCAAUGAUUAUAAGUUUAUAAUCAUAAACAAUAUAAUAUAAGAUAAAUUAAUGGUCAAAGUGUAAUUUGGGAGUACGUGCCAUGCCAUAUCACGCCUUAUAAAAAUAAACGGAGGGAGUACGUGAGAAUACAAUGAAUACUACUUUCUCUGUCACUAUUUUGAGUAAUCACUAUAAAAAAUAACCUCUAUUGUCGGUUCCCAACCCCCCUCUAGUACCGAUUCUGCAACUGGUAGCAAUCCUGUACUCGAGGGGGAUCCUCUAGUACCGAUUGAGAUAACUUGUACUAGAGGGUGUUAAAAAAUUGAAAAAGAAGAACCCCCCCUCCCCCGCCGGUCCCGGCCUCCCUCCGCCCGCCGCCAGCCCCCUCCGCCUCCACCUCCUCCUCCCCCUCCUCUGCUGCACUCUCCCAUCACCGCCUCCUCUCCGCUCCCUGCUCCACCCCACUGCUCCCGCUGCCGCGCCCCUCCUGCGUCGUCGCAGCCGCCCCGGCCCGACGCCGCCACUCCUCAUCGUCGGUGAGGGGCGAGCGGAGGAGAGGCAGAUCUGGGAGAGGGAGUGUGAGGGAGGAGAGUAGAGGAUAGGAAGAGGAGAGGGAGUAUGAGAGAAGAGAAGGAGAAGUGUACUGGAUGAGGAGAUAAUGCAGACGCGGUGUGAGUGGGGGAGGGCCGGCGGCAGACGGGGCUUUAGUAUUGGGUGGGGUUUCCAACCACUAAAAGGGUACUUUAGUACCAGUUGGGAACCCUACUCGGUACAAAAGGACCUCUGGCAAAUUUUAACAUUAGUACCGGAUUCAAAUGUGAUCAGUGGGGAGAAGUUAUAUUUUUACUAGUGAAUUUCAUGGUCGGAGAAUUCUCGAUGACGUUUGGAGUCUAGCGUGUGGCCCUGCUGUAUUUCGACUUUCGAGUAGUUGAUUUCCCCCACGGAUGUCGUCCUGGUCCCGCCAAGAAGAUAAGCCUCCCGCCCUCCCCUUCACGCUACACCCACCCCGACCCUUCAUUUCACCUCAUCUCGCUUUUAGCUACCUAUAAGCUAUCAUCAUUAGCUGCUGCUCGCCUCUGCUAAUAGCUCCAACUCCUCCAGCUCCAAGCUCUCCCUUCACUACACACGCCGCAAGUCCGCAAUGGCCACCGUGCUCAGCAGCCUCCGCGCGCCUGCCUGCUUCGCCCUCCGCGCGGCCCCGGCGCCGGCGCCGUCCACCGUCCCGCUGCCGGCCAAGGCUCCCCGCGGAGCCAGGCUGCGCGCGCAGGCGACCUACAACGUCAAGCUCAUCACUCCCGACGGCGAGGUGGAGCUCCAGGUGCCCGACGACGUCUACAUCCUCGACCACGCCGAGGAGGAAGGGAUCGAGCUGCCCUACUCGUGCCGCGCCGGCUCCUGCUCCUCCUGCGCCGGCAAGCUCGUCUCCGGCAGCAUCGACCAGUCCGACCAGAGCUUCCUCGACGACGACCAGGUCGCCGCCGGGUGGGUGCUCACCUGCGCCGCCUACCCCACCUCCGACGUCGUCAUCGAGACCCACAAGGAGGAGGAACUCAUCGUCUAAUGUAUAUGCCUACGUGCUCCUAAUGCUAUGCUUGCUUAAUACAUCGUGCGUGCUAGUGCAAUUACUCAAUAAGCGUUGUAGACUUCAACCAUGGAGAGACGUCCUACUCUAUGUACUAUGAUGCAUUUCGUUUUUCUUGCAUGCAAUACAGUAGCUAUUUGGUUUGCAAGUGUUGAGCUAAUGUAUGAUGGUUUAUCUCGCUUAGCAUUUUGUCCAAGAAAUUAAUACUCCACGUGAGAUUUGCUACGUGGUUAUCAAGAAGUCUGAACCUUAAUGAAUCGCUCGUUUAUGUACGAUGAAUAACUAAUGGCAUGGUUAAAUGGAUGAUAAGCAGGAUUAUCUUUCCUGAUCAUUGUGCUAAGAUGAAAUAGGACUAUAUCAAAAGGAGAAUGGAGGGAUUAAAUCGAAUACAUAAACAAGGCACCUACAUGCCCGAGUGGUAAGACACUGAGAUUGUGGCUGCUUAGAUCUUGAGUUCAUUGCCAUCAAUUAUCCACAAAUCCCAUUCUUUUUAUUCUUGAGUCCAUUUCUCUCAUUUAGUCUUUUUAUCCAAGUAAUAAAUCAUCAUAUACAUACGGCCCGGACACCUAUACGCUCGAGUGGUAAGAAACUCAUAUUGUGGCUGCUGAGACCUUAAGUACAUUGACAUCAACUAUCCAACAAUUUCCAUUUCUCGUUGAAGAAGUUACUACCUCCGUUCGAGAACACUUUGACAUUGUUGUUUUCUUCUAAAGGUCUCUGUACCGAGCACCCUCCAGUUUCCUCGCUCUCCCAUGUAGGGACAACUGUUGUCCAGUAAUUAACUUCAUAGCUUGUUUGGUGGUCUUGUAUGCAAACUCCCAAACAAGGGUAUUGUGUACUUAGAAGCCCACAUACGAAUGUUACGGCCCAUGGGCUCUCGUUGGACUUUGUUUAACGUGGCUUGUUGAUUUUUUUUUAAAAAAAGGGAACGGUGCUCCUUUUCGAGUUUGUGUUUCUUCGUAAGAGCAACAUUGUCAUCAUCCUUGGAUAGUUGGAUACUUGGAUUGGAUAUCAUUUAACUUGGAUGGACGGCAAUCUGGUAGCUAGCUAGGGAUUAGAAAGAAAACGAAAAUCCGGAUCCUCUACACAGCUCUGGAAAGUAGCUGCCUUAGCUGCACGUAUAAAGCAUGCAAGAGAGGAAGCAUGGCAGGUGCACAGCGCAACACGAGGGCAUGCAGUGCGGUGGCGAGCCACGUCGCCGCCGCAAGGACAGUGAGGUGUCCUCGACGCGAGCCUUCGCCGCUCCAACUUUAAAUACGCGAUCCAAGAACGUCGUAACCAGUCGUCGUCAACACUCAACAUCACCGAUCAGACUUGCUGUAACCAUAUCCCAUUACUACUAGCUUCCGUGCAGUGCUGCGUGUCGGUGAUCCGAUCGAUUAUCGACGACGAUGGCGCAGAGGGAGCGUGAUAUGCUGAUGAAGCACGGGACGGCGCGGACCAAGGUGGCCGGCGACGACGAGAUGCUGCGGACCGGCUUCCACAACGGCACCCCGCUGGAGGCCGGCAAGAUCGCCGACUCUCAGCCCGUCGACCUCUUCGCCCCCGCCCCCUCGCAGCAGCAGCAGCAGCAGCAGGAAGACGACGAUGGCCGUGGGAGCAGCAGGGUCAUCGCGGAGUCGGAGCCCGUGGACCUGGCCACGAGCGCCCGGGGCGUGGCGGAGGCCGCCAACAACGGCAACAACCCUGCUCCGCCGCCGUCGCAGGGGCGGCAGGGGAUGGCCGCCGGUGGACGUCGCCUCGGACGCCAGGCCUAAGUUAUUGGUCAAUAGCUUAGCAUGCAGUAUGACUGUUAGUAGUAGCUACUAGCAUCUUUCCAUCUCCUGUAUUAUGAAGAAAAUAAGGCCGCCGGCGGCUGUUGUGUCGUCGUCUCUGCUGCAUGCGUUUUCUUGUCACCAACACUCUGUUUUCUCUUAUUUAAAAUAAACACUUUUGUGUUGAGGUGUCUCAAAUUUUUAUUACUCCCUUUGUGUCCUAGCAUGUGUGGUAGUUUGGAUUUGCUUUGUUUCAUAGAAAUGUAUUACUUUUUCUCUACCUGUGCUCAUAUCUGUAUCGAAUCUACCCAAGCAAUGAGGCAAUGUUGGGUCAGGGAUCCCGCUUCAAUUUGGCACGCAAGGGAUAAAAAAGGGGAGACAAAAUGAUAAGGGCACCCGCAAUGGGCCACACCCUGCGCUGCGGCGCUGUCGCCGGCCUCUCCACCGUCGUCAACCCCGGAUCGGCGACACCCCCAUCCUGGGCGCCGGCACCUACGCCAACGCGCUCUGCGCCGUGUCGGCCACGGGCAUCGGCGAGGAGAUCAUCCGACAGAACAUGGCGCGCGAGGUCGCCGCCGUCAUGGAGCACCGCGGCCUGCCGCUGAGGGACGCCGUCGACCGCGUCGUCGGCGCCGCGCCGCCCGAUACCGCCGGCAUGGUGGCCGUGUCGGCCCAGGGGGAGGUGUGCGUGAGGUACAACAUCAUGGGCAUGUUCCGGGCGUGCGUCACCGAGGACGGCCACACCGAGCUCGCCGUCUGGACGGAGGACAUCCCUAUCCAUGCUGAUCCUGAUGCUGGUGCAGCAGCAGCAGCAGAAGAGCAGAUCAUGGAGACGACACUGUCAGCAGCGGCCUUGCGCCGUAAAACAAUUUCGUCGUCUCUCUCGUGCAGUCGUGCUGCUAUAUGUACUUUCGAUAAUCCAAUAAAACAAUUCCGGCAUUUGCAUCGAUCAAAGGAUGCGAAUGUGAUGUGAUGCCAAGAACCUGUUUGAUGUUUGUUUCGGUGCGUGUUUGGGAAAGAAACACCUGAUUUGGUUUUCAGGCCUUGUAAUCGAAGGAUUUUUACCGUGAAGAGAAAUGCAGCUCAUCCGAACACUUUAGAUAAUAAAAUAAACACGAUUAGUAUGUCAUUAAAAACACUUUUCUAGUAAUACCGAUCUAUGUUGUGAAGUUUCAAAGUGUGCUUCUGACUUCAUACUUCCUUAUGAUGCUGACAACGUAAUAACUGAACACCUAAUUAUAAUUAAUUAUUCAAGUAAUUCGUUUUAAGGUUUUAUAGAUGCAUUAUUUAUUAUUUAGAUACAUAGUAAAAGUUACGUAUAGUAAAAAAAGUUACAUGAAUAAUAAUUUGGGACGGAAGUUACACGAAUAAUAACUUGGGAGUAAAAGUUACGUAUAGUAAAAGAAGUUACACGAAUAAUAAUUUGGGAUGGAAGUUACACGAAUAAUAAUUUGGGACGGAGGAAGCAGAACUCUGUCAAACUAAACUAAGGGACGGAGUAGUCUCUUGCGCAUGUAACGUGUAUAUUUUUCGUAAAAAUGAAAAUACACAUAAAAAGACUAAUAGGCUAAUUUGUGAAGAGGCCCAUCAGAGAGCCCAGCACACCGAUUUACUACUUGCUGCUGGCUGUAAAGUGAGUGCCCGUGAAUCCUAACAGGUUUUCGGUGUCUGGGAUUUGUACUGCCGUACGAUCACCUUCGUCUCUGCUCUUCUCGAGCUCACUUGCUCGGUUCAAGCAGGUGAGCGGGAGCGGCUCGGCAACUGCUGGUCGUAGUCGAGGUCGGCGGUGGUGGGUGGCGGCCGGCGAAGUUAGAGUUAAGGUUUGAUUUUUUUUUUCGGAGGCUUUGAUGGUCACCGGCCUUAGGGAGAGGUCGGCGCGCGGCGGCGGCUGCAGUGGUUUGGCCGGCGGCAGAGAUGAGAUGGCGCGGGAGUUCCGCCGGUCGGGAGGGAACGGUACAUUGGGCUGUGUUCGGUGGCAGGAAAAUUACGAAGGACGAGGUGAAAGGUCAGCGGUGGAUGAUAGCCGGAGGCACGACGGCGCAGCAGUCACCAGCCUGGUAUGGUGGAGAAGGAGGCGUCGGUUACGGGGAAGAAGACGACCAAGCCGGCGCUAUCUGGCUUCCACCUCCCUCCCAAUCACUAUUGGAGCUCGGAUCCGACGGUCCCAUCCCUUCGCUGCCGCCGGCGACCACUUCGCCUUUCCGUGCUCUCUCCUCCGGUCCGAUCCGAUCCGACCACAAGGUAUGUAGUCGACGUGGCGCCUUUGACUCGAGCGCGCCCGGGCUUGGCCCCACGGUAGUCUAUCCUUUGGUCUCGACGUUGACCGUCCGGCUCGUGCGCGGUGGGCCCGCGUGGGCAGGGGUGAGGUGUCGCGCGUCCAGAAGUUUCGCAGCCAACCCGUGGCUCUCGCCGGGAGGACACGUGGCGGCGACGGCGGCAGAUUCCGCCGUCUGUCCUGUCAGGACGCCUGCUGCUGCUGCUAAAUUAUUGCCCUGUUGUUCGCUUUCAUUGCUCCAUUGCUUAGUUAAGUUCUCGCAGCCGGAUCGGACCAGCUGGCGGGGGUGGAGGAGGCGGCGGUGGGUGGCCGGGUGGUGCCGCCGGCGCUGGCCCGAGAGCCCAGGUGACGGUGAUGGCUAGCGCCGGCGUCAACAUGCCCGGCGGCGACGGGAACCCAGGUGCUGCAUCGUCGUCCUCCACCACGGAAUGCCGGCUGCGCAGGCGCCGCCGCCUCGCGCCCCCGCGCGCCACCGUGGCCGCCGGGGGGCCCAGCGAGGAGAAGCGCGUCCGGCCGUCGUCGGCGUCGGAGGAGGAGGAAGGGCAGGAAGGAGAGGCAGACGCGGUGCUAAAGGAGGAGGAAGAGGGGGGAACGCAGCAGCAGCAGCUGCCGCUCUCGGCGGCUGGGCCGCAGCCUCCGCCGUCCCCCGGCGCAGCGGCGCGGGCGUGGCCGGUGGCGUUCGGGUGGCUGUCGGUGGCGGGGCGGUCGCGGGAGAUGGAGGACGCCGUGUCGCUCCGCCCGGGGUUCUGCACCUGGAUCGAUGGCUCGCCCAUGCACUUCUUUGGGGUCUUCGACGGACACGGCGGAUCCCAUGUACGUACGCCGCCUCGCCGCCGGCGGAACUUGUCUCUCGUUCUUAUCUAAUAAGUAAUUAACCUCAGCUCGUCUACUAAUCACUCACCGUUUUGUUUGUUAACAAGAUAAGAAAGAUUUCAUGCAUGCUCUCGAUCGGUUACUCAGGAUCUAAAAGCUUUACUUUAAUUUUUAUCUAGCCUACUGUAAGUAAGUCGUCUGCAGCUUUUGGUUUUCACUGCUAGUACGGUUGGUGCAAGAAAGAAAGAAGACGACACCAUGAAUGCCAAAUGCAAUGCGUGGCAGCAAGUUAGUCGAAUGACAGGGUGCUGUACGUGUCCAACCAACAACACAUUGGCCACAUUCCAGCACCUUCCGAAUUCGACCAAAGUACUGGCCAAUCCAUACACGGAUACACCUAAGUAGGAGUACGCGUGUCAUAUUCCUCAAAGUAGCUAGUCAUCUGACGACAACGCAUGCAUAUGCAGGUGUCAACGCUGUGCCGGGACCGGAUGCACGAGUUCCUGGCCGAGGAGCUCGCCGCCGAGGGAGCGGCCUUACAAAAGCAGCAGCAGCAGCAGCAGGCGACGGAGGGGGAAGCAGGGACGACGACGAGUUCCCAACCGCAGGUAGUAGAAGACGAGAAGGAGGAGGAGGAGGAGCGGGCGUGGCGCGCGGCCCUGGACCGGACGUUCCGUCGCGUGGACGCGCUGGCGUCGCUGGCGUGCGCGUGCGGGCGCAUCGUGCGGCCGCCGUGCCGGUGCCUGCUGUCGUGCAACUCCGACAUCGUGGGGUCCACGGCGGUGGUGGCCGUCCUGGUCCGCGGCUGCGUCGUCGUGGCCAACUGCGGCGACUCCCGCGCCGUGCUCUGCCGGGGGCCCGCCGGAGCGCCGCCAGUCCCGCUCUCACGCGACCACAAGGUACGUACGUACGCGCGACACGCAUCCCCAGGCCAGUCUCUGGUCGCGGCGUUGACCCGUGCCCGAUGCACGGAUAUCAAAGCGCGCGGGGCCGGGCCAUGCAGCGGCAGUCCCUCAUUCCGGUGGCGCGGGGGACACGUGUCGGUAUCGGCGGGGGCACGUGGGGCGACGGCGGGGGAGACCGUGGUGGACGGAGGCGCCACUGCCGGCGAGUUGCUGGCUCGCUGCGGUGCUGCUCUCUUUUCUCUUCUCUUCUUUUCUUCUCUCCCUGGUGAUGAGUGAUGGGUGGGUGGGUGGUCAGCAAAAAAUAGCGAGCCUGCUGCAAAAACUAGUGGCAUGGUGGGUGCGCCAACAUUCGUGCUGAUUGUAAUUAGCUAGGUAACUUUUCGAAAAAUUAGCUAGCUAGGGUUCUCUUAAUUGCUUCUAUCACACCUCCUAACUAUGUACUCUCUGCUACUGUUCUUAUUAUACUAAGCAGCAGUGCUAAUCGUCUGUCAGAGGGUUUUGGUCAUUCUAAAGCUGACUAGCAGCAGUGCUAAUAUUCUAGUGCUAAUAUAAUUGGUCUGGCAGCCGGACCGGCCGGACGAGCUGGCGCGGAUCGAGGCGGCGGGCGGCCGGGUGAUCUACAUCAACGGCCAUCGCGUGCGUGGAAUCCUCGCCAUGUCGCGCGCGCUAGGUAUGGUGUGGUAUGGUAUAUGUGUUAGUUCCGAUCCUUGGGCAUCAAUGUUCAUCCAUCCAAUCGGAAACUAGUAGCAUAUAACUAUGAUCAAGAGCAGCGAUGUGUUAACAACUGCCGGGUGUUCUGGAAUCCAAACAUAAUCAAGCAUUCAACUCUCUACUAAAGCUGUUCCUUGAGAUUCCUGUGAUGCUAACCCAACCUAGAAAAAGAAGUGGGUGGACCUUUGUAAAGUGUAAACAAGCCACAAGUGGGGAUAGAGGUUCAAUAAUACAAUCCAUUAUGAUGACAGUGAUGCUAGCUGCAGCAUCUUUACCCUGAUGGAUUUGCUACUAAAAUGGGAGGCUGUUGGUGCAGGAGACAGGAUGCUACGUCCUGAAGUGAUCGCUGAGCCUGAGAUCACCGUAACGGACCGGACGCCGCAGGACCAAUGCCUGAUCCUGGCGAGCGACGGGAUGUGGGACGUCAUCUCCAACGAGAUCGCCUGCUCCGUGGCGCGGCAAUGCCUGGAAGACGGGAACCCUUCUCCCGCCGACGACGAGCCGGCGGCAGGCGGCGGCGAGGGUGCCGCCGCCGGGCCGGAGCAGGAGGCACGGUGCUCCAGGGCGGCGUCACUCCUCGUCAGGCUCGCGCUAGGCAGGACCACCUGGGAUAACGUCAGCGUCGUCGUCAUCGAUCUCAAGCAGAGGGAGUGAGUAGCAGGCUGCCUCUGAAUCUCUGAUGGUGUUGUCGAUCUGAUCAUGUCAUUCAGCGUAACCUGGAUGCAUUGACAUCGUAGCAGCGACUCUGCUUGGUAGCUAGUGAACUGAUCUUGAGAGGAGAGGCAGUGCAGUGGUCUAGACUAAACUUGAGACGAUUUUCUUUGAUUGGAAUAGUUGGUUUUUUUUAAGUUGCAUUCGGAAAGAAAGAAAGUGCGUCCACAAAGAAAAGAAAGAAAAGGGGAGAGAGAGAGAGAGAGAGAGAGAGAGAGAGAGAGAGAGAGAGAGAGAGAGCAAUUGUACAGGGUAUUAUGCAACAUUUAUGUACAUUAUUGUCAUCUACAUGUUCGGUUGGACGUUUGCAGUCUGGCUGCCGUUUAUGUGCCAGUAAUGCUCUGCCAUCAGCUGCUGCUGUUCUCUGAUGUUGCGAGUCUGGUGUCAGCAUGUCUUCAAGCCAACCGUAAUACAAGUUACCUAACAGCAAAAAACACAGCCUUUUACUCAUCCUAGCAGUGCCAUUCUUCGUUGGAUCACAUCCUCUAGUGUUGUGUUGUGGCCAAAACUUCUGCAUCAAUCUCAUCUGAUUGACUGUCUUGGAAGUUCUUCCUGGCAUUCUCUUCUUCUGGGGCCUACCCGGUCUUGCAGUGAACAUAGGAGGAUCAACAUCCGGGAAUGGAGUUUCAACCCAAUGUGUCUUAUCUGGGACUUGCAUGAUUCUGGAACCUGGAAAUGGAGUAUUCACCACUGAGCACUUUAGAAUCAACAAUGGACCAUUCACCUGGCUGUACUAAAUGCUGUCCUGUCCACCCAACCAGGCCACGACCAAUCACGACCAUGUUUCUUUCAGGAACGUGCAGCAUUCACAGUUUAGCCUGUACAAACAAUUGACACCGAUGGAGCCUACUGAAAGCAUCAGCUCUAUGGAGCCCAAUCAAGAUGGGCAUGAUGUUCACAAGUAACCUACUACUGAAAGGGAGAGAGCACGGAUCAAGAAUUAUUCAUAUUUCAAAGCCCUUACGAACUAAUUCAAGAAUUAUUUUUUUUAAAGGAGAUCUUACAGGCUUAAACCUCAAGAGUCAAGAGACAAACUCCAUCUAAGGCAGUAAGGUUCCUACUAAGCUGCAUCAAUACAAGCUGCUAAACACUCAUGAAACCGGACAGGAGCUGACAUUGCUUCUUCAAGAUGUAGCAACAAACAAAACAACUCUUGAGCACUAAAAACCUAUGAUUUAACUACAUUACAUGCCUCAAAGUAGGCCAAGUCAAAACUACUCCCACUCCGUGCACUCGGCCACCAUUGCUUGAUUCUCUCUUCUUACAAGCAGUUGUGCGUAACAGAUUUUCAAUCAUUAUGGUGCCCCAUCGAUGAGCUCGCAUUAACGUGUCAGUUGGGUGCCAGGUAAGGUUUCUCACAGGAUCUCACGAUGCCACCAUUGCUGUUAAAGUGGUGAAUUUUGCAGCAGAAAUCAGCACCCUGGUAGCGACUGAGAUGACGUGUCAGAGUCAGGACAAUGCUGUUGGUAGAGCUGACAGAAUGACUGAGUUGAUGCCGCAGCUGAUAAACUUGUCUCCGAGUCGCCACCAUGCUGAAGCUGGGUCUGUUGUGGUGAUGGCGGCACCAUGGUGAACAGGCUCGGGCCUGACAGUGUGCAGUGCCGCAGGUAAGGGUGCUGCUGCCCUGAAGAUCCAGGGUAAUACCUCGGAGAUCCAUGGGAAAAGUGUGAUGAACCUAUAUACCGACUGGGAGAUCCGUAGCCAGAACAGGAGACGUGUGGUGAAGUAUACCUGAUGUUGAUUGGUGGAGACAAAUGGCCCCCAUACAAUGAGUGCGCGGAUGCAAGGUGCGAUGUGCGAGACCAUGGGGAUGACAUAUUUGCAAGGUCUACAUUGCUUCCGCUUCUGUAGAUGGGAGGUGAGUUUGCACAAGACCUAUGGGGGUUAGGGGUGCGGGGGAUACCGGAACUUGAAAUGGAGUAAUUACGGGAUAUGGAUUGUGAUGAAGGAUGCCGGCUGAUUGGCCUUGGGGGAGAGGCUGCCACUGUUGACCGGAAUGAAGCUAAAGCGGUUGAUUCAGCAGGUAAGCGAAUAGCGGAAGAAAGCAAGGGGGUAGACUCUGAUACAGGUGGGUUUGAUGUUCCAGCAUUUGCGUCCCGCUUGCAUACAGGGCAGAAUGUUCGCCACGAGGUAAGCCACAGGUCCACACAAGCUGCAUGGAACUCUGCAAAUUAAAACAACCAAGCCUCAUACGAGUUAAGAAUAAAGCUUGAGAUGGAACAAGGGUCAAGAAAGAUGCAGCAACAAGUAUUGCAAGGUUUCAGAUGCAAGCACCACUGAUCAUUUUUUAUAUAAGCUUGAGAUAGAACUUUGUAUCUAAAAAUUCCAUAUACUAUGCACAUCAUGGAAUCAGGGAGCACAUAUUCAUAUAUGAGAAGGUGCCAAAAUGCAUAUGAAAUUGUAUUCAAUCUAGCUAACAACUCAAGCCUAUAUGGACUGUAGGGAACUAUUUUGAUGGAAGAUUUUUUCCAUACACACACACACACACCAUUCUUUUACUAACGUUCUAGUGGCACUACUCUACAUUCACAUCUGUAAGACAUAGUAAAGAAUAGUAAACAAUGCAGACAGAUUUCAUAUAUAAAUGUGAGAGGUACAUACUGUGUCGACAAGGUAGCACUCUUAGUUUUUCUCCCACAGUGUAGUCCUCCAAGCAAAUGGCACAUGUUGAUGAUGUACAAUUGUCUUCUUGAACUUUUGUGAAGAUGAGGCUUGGCAUUGCUUUAACUAAUUGACUGCUCAUUCCAUGGAACUCUCGAGCUUGGGGGAUUCGAGCCCUGUCUCGUCUUAUCUGGUGUCUCCUCACAAAGAAACAAGUAGCUAGGACAGCAGACAUAGCAAGCAGUGAUAUGAAUGAAAUUGCCAUGAUUGACCAAGCUGAGUUCUCGUAUGUUGGUAUUAUCCACAACUCUGCUUCAGUUUGACCUGAGUAUUUCUUCAACACCUCUCCUGAGGCCUUAGAGAUGAAUACCGCAUAUAUGUGGACUCCGGAUGAGCUUCCAGCCACUGCAACACCUCUUAGUCAAUUGAUAUUGAAAAUAUACUAAGUACAAUGAUAUGCAGCUCUCCUGCGUGUUUGGAAAAAAAAGAUAUUGAAAAUAUAUGCACUCACCGAGUAAUGUGAAUGGUAAAACUUUACAAUUGAUUUUGAUUAAUUAAGCAUAGGGCAAGGUUGCAUCAGUUUUCUACCUUUUAGAUUCAAUGAAGCUAAUCUAAUAAUUUAGAGCACUUUAAUGACUUACAGCAUUAUGGAAUAGAAAUACUCAAAUAACUAUAGAGAAACACCCCUUAUGUGCACUAAUAAUGAAUAAAUGUAAAUGAAGAUAAGCUGGAAAAAAUAAUGUCUGGGGCAUUACUUGAAACAAGAACGCCGUUGUCUUCAUUAUCAUAUACUAUAGCAGCCUUGAAUCCAGCAUUCUGUGCAUUUCUAACUUUGUCGUCAAAUUGGCAACCGCCUCUUAUAACCAAAGCAAAUGCUGAGGCAGAUCCUUUAACUGCUUUUGUUGUCAACGGACUGCAUGCAUCCAGAGGUUCAGCAGCAUAAAGCACACCAUUUGCACCUGAAUUUUUCACCGCUGGAGCUGCAAUAAGACCGAAAGGUCAAUAAGGCUUGCAUCAACCAGAUAGUUUGGUUAAGGCACCAAAGUGGCAUUGCAUAUUAUUAGUCACAACGAUACAAGGAUGGUGCUAGUGUAUGAGAAGAAACUAGAAGAGCCAUCUAACUACCAGGGCCAAAGAAAACAAGCAAUGAACCCAUUUAUUCACGAACUAAUAAAAAACAUAGCAAUUUAGCAUUAAAGAAAAACAAAAUCUAACACCAACUACAUAAAGAAUACAUUGUAAUUUGACGAAGUGGCCCUAAAUGGACAAGCACAAAGCUUCGCUUAUGUUGCCAUUGGAAUACGAGAUGCUAAUUGAUCUGUUCUGAAGAUACAGGGAUAUAGGAUAAUAGUAUGUAGCACUCACUAAAGGUUGCCUCGACGUCAUCGAAUGACAGGGUUGUGUUGUUCGCCAUGAGUACAACAUUGCAAGCUCCCAGCUGAACCAUGAGGCAAAUCACCAGAAAGAAACAAAGGGGGAAUGAUCUCCAUCCUCUUGGACAUGUCAUCUUGACAGAACUCAGUUCCUGUGUUACAGCUAUAGAACAGAGGAGUCCGCACAGAUGCGGCAUCGCAGAGCUGCAAAGCUGUGACCGUGGAAGGCGCUAGCGCCAAGCACCACUGCACCAGUCACCUAAACCACCUGCAAUCAUAUCAUAUUACUACGAGUAAGCAAACAAAUUUGAAAAGCAGGAGUGAUGUUAAUUUCACAGCAAUGCAAACAGUGUCCAUAGUAGUAUCACCCAGAUAGAACACAUGAUGAUAGAUUGGAGAAACAACCUAUAGAAAAACAGAACCACAGGUCAAAAAGACUCCUUUGGUUUCGGAAAACAGGAGAGGUUCCUUUUCCACAGAAAUGGGUCUAAAAUUUACCCGAAAUCCAGUGGCGUCUCCGAAUUGAACUAGGAUAUCCAUCACACAGCUCAGGGAGCACCACCAACUAAACACAAAAGGGGCAUAAGAGAUGAGACUUUUGAGCACGGAAUCGCCCAUAACACCUCUGAAAGCGGCACGGCUCCUGCCCUAAAUUCCGCGGAAGAAUCCCACGUGAAAUCGGGUAACGGCGCCAUAUCCACGAAAUUAGUGCCGUAAAAGCCGAAACUUUUCAGAUUGCAACGCAUCGAGGAGGAGAAAAGUGCGCACCUUUCGACGGGAUUUGAUUUGAUUUGAUUCCACCGGCACGGCAGCGGCAGCGGCAGCGGCAGCAGGAGUGAGACGAGGAAGAGGGAGAGGAGGCGUCGGCGCAAGAGGAGAAGAGGGACUAGGAGGAAUCAGCUGGUGGUGGAGGGGGAUCGAGAGGUGGCUGCGUGGGGAUGGAGACGUCGGCUGCCAUGAGACGAGAAAUCUGCAGCCAAUUUGGAGUGGCGGAGCAGGUGGGGGGGAGGACAGUAUGGAAUUCCGCCCGCAGAAACCAGGGCUGCAGGAGGCCGGAACGAAUGAGAAAGAAAUCAAUCAGAAAUGGAAUGGAAUUGGGACAGGUUUUGCCUCUAUUGAUUGAAUGAUUUUUUUACGUGAUUUGAUUUCAAUUUGUUUAUUCCGCUGUUGCGUCAUCCAUCCAUACCCCUCCCUCAAUCCCUGGCCACAUAUGCCGACCUCCUCUUCUAACCUUUUUUUUUUCUAAAUAAAGGUCUCUUGUGUUUAUCUCCUUUUCUUUUCUCAGAGCAAGAAAGAAAACUCCAGGCCAAUGAAUGAAUUGAAUCACCAUUUGCUUUCUUGGUGGCAAAGAAGAAAAUGUUUGGGAGCUUGACGUUAUCUCAUUUAUUGCCUGACCUUAUCAUGUCGACCGCAUGAGACCAUCCAUCCCCUCCUGCUUCGAUUCGGAGCUCCAAACGAUUCUCGAAAGCUGAUGAGUUGCACAUCCACGUGUACAAAAUCAAGUGAUAACAGACCCUUUUAGUUUGUUAGAGAUAAUUUGGCUGGGCAGUGGCAAUCUCAUGUCAUGGAUAUUCGUAUAUGCCGGGGAACAUAUGGUGGUUCCUAACCCCCAAUGAUUCCGAUGCUAAUGCGGAGGUAGGCAUCUUUAUGGGAUCAGAAACAGAUUUUAGCAAUCCAAUCGAAAAUCACUGUCAUCAGCGGUUAAUACUCCCAUCAGACAUUCAUACAUUAGGAAGUGAGUCGGGAGGUGUAGUUGUGCACUUUAAUCAUCCAGAUUUGAGCUCGAAUUUAGAUGCCCAUUUCUUCUUCUUAAUAAAAAGAAUCAUAUAACUUCUCCUAGGUGAUUUUUUAAACAUUCCUAUAGUGGAGAAGACCCCAAUCUCCUACUUUCGGCCUGAAUGUUAUACAUCAGCUUAGGACGUUGGGAUUUUAAGUGCCGCUCAUCUAAUGAAAUUCUUUUAUUUAUCGAGCCCUCGAUUCUUUUCUUGUUUCUUCCAUCUUUUAUUUCUCCUAUACGUCCGGAGUAAUUUCUUUUUUGUUUGGAAACAUUUUGUGCAGCCCAGCCGUUGAGCUCCUGCAGGCUAUGGGCCUACCCGCAACAAGCAGGCUGAAGCCUGCGGUGGAGCGGACCGCACACUUAUGGGUCAUUAAUGGACCAAUGGGCCCAACAGUACGUAUGGACCUUUCGGCUGGCCCAUGUAGACAAAAGAAAAAGGAAACUGGGAAGAGCUAUACGUUGCUCGGGUGAUUCGCAAGCUCCCGUCACCUGAAUUUUAUACCGUCGGAUCUUACAGCUGUGGUGCUUUCCCGUCACAUAACUGCUGCUGCCUCCUGCAGCUGCGCUGCACAGCAGCGCUCCGACCAGACCUUGCACGGCUGCAUGCUACGAGCAUCGAGCAUGCCGCAUGCCUGCGCGGCUGUGCAGUGCGUGCGUUUCUAUAUACAUUAGAAUUUUUUUACACUAUAUUUGUAAGUAAUUUACAGUGAUAUUGUUACUGUAUUUUCAAUUUGUAUAUUGUGUAAUUUUAAAUCUGUGUAAAUUGCAUGUUGUUUAUUGAAAUCUGAUUGGUAUUUUUUGCAUUUGAGGGGUUCCUCGCAGUUAAAAAUAAUUUGUUAUCUGACUGACUAUAGUAAAAAUUUGUUUUUAAGUUUAUAAUUUUGGCUUUUGCAUUUUAUUUUUUCUUCUCUUUUCUGCGUCAGUUUAUUUUCUAUAUGCUCAGCACAGUUUGUUUUCUAAUUAGGAUUUUAGGGUCAUAAUUUUCAGGUGACAAAUCUACUUGUAGCACCUGAAUUUUUUUCUCUUCAAAAUAGGGUGUUAUCCAACAUCAAAUCACCAAGGUGAUUGUGACCGUAGUAACACCAGGGUGAUGGGUAGACAGUCCCUAAUGAAAAGACAGGAUGCAUGACGCUCCUUCGAUCCUUCUCCUAUGUUAAGCUGGCUGACGAUUCUCUUAUGUCGUCACCACGAAGUUUAGUCAUUGGUCAGUAGCGUCGGGUAAGGGGCGGCAUCGGGAUCCUUGUGGACGGAGGAGGCCCUGCGGCGGUCUGAGGUUGGCCGCUCGCGGGCACGGAGGCAACCACUGCACGAACUGUGGUCGGCAACGCGUCGCUCCAGCUCAGUUGUGGCCGGGUCCGGCCCUACCUGAUCGGAUUUCGGCGGCGCGGCGACGCAGGGUCGUCCUCUUCGACAGCAACGCGAUUCUGUGCGUUUGGUGGCGCCGUGGUGGCGCGGUCGAGGAUGGCUUGCGCAGGGGCUCGCAGCGGUGCCAUGGUGGUGCGGCUUGCACUGGCCUGCGUGCGCGGGGGCACGUUAGCUAUGCCAUGGUGGUGUGGCUACUAGCGUUGCUGGGCCAUCUCGCUUGCGGCGGAUGAGGAGGGCGCCUGCAGCGCAGCGGGCCGGCGCAACAGCAGCUGAGGAGGCCGCACGUGGCUCGGCGAUGGAGGUGUGGCUGCGCAUGGCGAGCUGGCGGCUGCUGUGGUAGUGGAUGCGUGUUGAGCGUGGAGUCGUGGCGGCGAGGGUGAUGGUUUAGGGUGGAUGCGGUGGCUGCUGCGCGCGCGGUUGGUGGUUGUCGAUUUUUGCCUUGGCAACAUUGCAGUGUUUCAUCAAAUCAAAUGCCGAGUGCAUUCAUAGUAGUCGAUCUAUCUUCUUUGAGGCUUCCUCCCCUUGAAGGGUGUUGGAUGGCGGUAGGUGAAGGUUCGGAUGUGCUACGAAGGGUGCUACCAAUCUACCAUUAGCUUGAAGGGAGAUCGGUGUGUCCAAUGAUAUUGUGGUCUGCGUGCUCCCCUCACUCUUAGUCCCUUUUCUGUUGUGGUUGUCCCUCAUUCCUUCAGGGCUUCCUCCUCCUGUUGGAUGUUGAGGGUGGCAACAGAGCGGCGUAGCUACAAAGGGUGGUACGGUAGCACUAUGAUCUCAAUAGAGCUGGUAAGCAUGUUGUUUGGUUGUAAUGCCCCCACGUGAAUGGUGGCUUGCUCUUUAAGCUUUGUAAGCGUUAGCCUUUGUCCAUGUAUCUUCUUCUUUAUAAUUCUGGCGUCUAUGCCGCCUUGUACCAUUUCGACUGGGAGGUGCCGGGCGGGAAGGGAAGUUUGGGGUCACGGUGCACCGGAAGGAGAAGCUUGUGCUCAUCCCAAAACGCAAACUUGAAUUGAUGUAACGAAAAAUAAUAAUUGAAUCGAAAAGCAGAGAAGCAAUGAACCUGGCCAAGCAUUAUAUUGCUCCAAUAAUCAUGAAGAGAUCAAUAAUUGACGAUACAUGUAGUAGUCGUGACGAGCAAUCAGUGUAUGAUCGGCUUAACUGCCGUUGGUGACGGGGUAUCCGAUGCCGUGUCGCCUGGUUGGGAAGGCGACGAAGAGCAGGCUGCAGAGGACGCCGACGCCGAGCGGCAGGAUGUCGAGCACCUCCUCCGUCUCCCUUGCCGGCGCCGGGCAGAAGCACCUGACGACGUUCUUGUCCCUCGCCGCGACGACCCCGAAGACGGCGGCGGAGAGCGCGGCGUGCACGAAGUCGACGAAGGCGAGCCUGUACCUGGCGGUGUCGGCGGCCGGCGGCGGCGCGCCGGGCGGGUAGUCGAUGAGCCAGAGCCCCCUGGGCGUGGCGACGCCGUAGUAGACGCGGCCGUCGGGGCCCUUGAGGGAGUCGGUGAAGGAGGCGAGGACGCAAGAGAGGGCGAGGACUGCGAGGAGGCCCCGGGUGAGGAGCGCCGUGGUGGCGUCGCAGGCGCCAUGGUUGGUGAAGGUCGGCGACAGCAGGUUGAAGGCCAGCAGCGUCCCCGUCGGCAGCAGGUUCGCGAGGUUCGCCGUCGACGUCAGCGCCUGCGACAACGGCGAACGUGGAGGCGGCGGCGGCGGCGGCGGCGAGGGUGCUGCUUCUGGUUCUUGCUUGGGGAGGAGGAGGUCUUGCUGGUCGUCUUGGAGGAGCUGUGGCUGCUGAGCGGCGGCGGAGACCGCAGUGGCUGGCCUCUGCCUGACCGAGGAGGAGGAAGAAGAUGCCAUGAUCGAUCGAAUGCUGUGUGGUAUUGAAGUGAAAUCGAUAUUUAUUCUCUUGGUGCUUGGGCAUGUAGCUUGUAUUUGUAAGGAAGCGAUCCAUGGAUGACGACGACCGGCCGGGAUGCGGUUGUGGAAUGCGUCAAGGAACAAGCGAGCAUGGAUGAGAUGGCUGCUAUUCCCGUUCUGGUCUGGUGGUUGGUUACUCGGUUUGGCUCAUGGCACCGACCCGACCCAACCCCCAAUUCCUUCACCCAUCUUGCAUUGCUGCUGUUGCUUCCAGCAACCGUUUCCAUAGUCCAUCGUGACCAGGCUACAGCUUGUGUGUUCCAUGCCUGAUGCCUCGUCGUUCAUUGCUACUGCUUUCACGGUACGGGAACCAACCCAAAAUCUCACCUAACACGCUUUCCUGAUAAAUUCCUGGUCCUAAAAAAUACACCUGAUCAAAAUGGAACCCUCUUUCUUGCUUCCUUCGAUUAUUCUUUUCCUGUUCUUGUCAUGUAUGUAUAUCCUCGACCAAUAUAUGCAAUGAACGGACGACGAACAAACGAAUUAAUCUAAAAGUCGACAUGUAAAGAAAAGCAGUUCCAUGAUAAGACGAGUGCUCAAGAAUUAUUUCUUUAGUGCUGAUGAUCUGCUUCCUUUGUACAACAAGGAGCAGCUUCGUCAACAUACAUCAUUAUUAGAGAAAUGAACUUUCGUCCUCAGCCUCAAUACCGGUUGCAUUUUGAUCUGGUACUAAUGUGAGCAUAUGUACCGGGUAUAAUCCCUGAUGAGCCCCCCUUGACCCCCUUUAGUACCGGGUGAAGGUUCCACCCGGUACUAAAGCCAUCCGCCAGCCAUCCUCCGCGCGGUACCCGCUCCCAUGCAUCCUAUCUUACCUAUCUCUCUCUCCCCCCCUCUUAGCAAAGCGCAACUGUAGCUCUCUCUCGCUCCUCUCCUUUCUCUCCUCUCUCAGCGCAGCGCCGGCGAGCGGCAGGAGCGGUGGGGUGGAGGUGGGCGGGCAGAGGGGCGGAGGGCGGCAGGAGGGUGGUAGGGUCGGGCGGUGGGAGGAGUUGGGCGAGGGGGGGGGGACGGGGGUCCAGGCAAGAAUUUUAUUUUUCAACCGGUAUUAAAGGUUCUCCCUUUAGCACCGAUCUACCAGUACCCGUUGGAAACCAAUACUAACGGCAUUUUCAUAGUAGUGCAUGGUCAAAGGUUUUAAAAAACAAAAAACAAAAGGCCAUUCGUCUAUAAUUGGGCUGCCUCUCUAUCUCUCCUCCAAAACGGGCACUCUCUUUUCUUUCUACUACUCUUCCCAUAUUAUAAUGGAUUGGGCUGUCUCUCUCCUCAAAACGUGCUUACGGGCCUAGGAAAACGAAAGUGAUCCACGAGGCCUGCCCCCCACAUAUCAUCUCUCGGCCCACUAGGUCCAACUUGAAUAAACUGUCUGUACGACAUCAUUACACCAAAUAUGAUCAAGACAAACAACUUUAGAGAAGCGUCAAGAUAUAACUUCCCACAAGUACUAGUAGCUAUAUAAUUAAUAAGUAUAGUUAGGGAGGUUACCCAAUUAACACCCGUACGUACAUGCUACCCAGACAUUACAAAGUUUAUGUAUAAGCUUUGAUAAUAUGCUUGCAAUAAUGUAAAAGAUACAAAUUAUUUGUUAGCGGCUCAAAAGAAAUUAUUUGACGUCUAAUGAUUUACUUAUUUUUUUUUAAGCUGAUUUGCUUCCUUCACAGAACACAGAAGGCCAGUGGACGGUAUCUUCGUCAACACGGUCAAAGUAGCCAUCACUGUUUUUUUAUGACGAAAAUAAAGAAAGUCUCUCAGUUCGUCUAUAAUUGGGCUGGCUCCAUCCUCAAAACGGCCUAAUGGGCCUUAGGAAUACAAUAGAAAUCCACUGGGCCUGCCUGUCACACUCGCUGAACCAUUGGUGAAUGAAUAAAACAGCGAGCUUCAGAGUUUUUUUUUUAGAAAAAGCUCUCAUCUUUGUGGUCCAUAUCUCUCGGCCCACUGGGUCCAACCUGAAUAAACAAACAAUCUGUACACGUCAUGGAUCCAAGUAUCUCCCGUUCAUCCCCCUAAAAAAAAAGUAUCUCCCGUUCAUUUGCAAAUUACCAGUUGCUAAUCUUCACUUAUAGACGAUGGUCAGUUGCAAUAGGAUCAUAUGAAUCAUCAUAAAUUGCCUCAUGGUUUGCAUGAAUUUAGUCAUGUUCAUCUCCGUGAAUUAGCAGUGACACACGUUUUAUGCGAUGAACAUGAGCCUUAUGCUUCCAAUAGGUACUAGCAUCAGGGACUGUUCGGUUCGGCCAGUUUGAUCCGGAAUGCAGCUCAAUCUGGGCGGAUUGGAAUGGCCCGGAAUGAAGUCAGGCUUGGUUUGAAUUCGCUGUUCGGUUAGAUCUAACCCGAAAUGGAAACAUGCCCGAAAUCAUUCCCCACCUCCUCCCCUCCGGAACGGAGCCAGACCACUCACUCGACUCGCCGCUCCCCCACACCUCCACGAUUCCCGGUGCCUCCGCGCUCGAUGGCCACAACCCCGCCGCCGCGCCUCCACCCGCGGCCCUACUGCGUCACCACCCGCGCUUCCCGGCUCCUCCGCGCCCCAAUGGCUGCUAGCUUGCUAUCGCGACCCUGGCGCCGCCGCCGCCGCGCUCCACGGCGCCUCCACCCACGCCCUGACUGCGCCGCCGCCCACGACUCCUGGCGCCUCCGCACCCCAUGGCCGCCGGCUUGCCGCUCGUGCCCCCCAGUGCCGCAGCCGAACCGACGCCGCCGGCCUGCCACACGCGCCCCCAGCCGCGGCGGGGCCCUAGCUGCGCGCCCCUCCACCGCACUUGCUGGCUGGCCACGCUUGCCGACGUGCCGUGCGCCGGCAUCGGUGUCGGAGAAGAAGCCAUGACUAUUUGGGCGUCGGAAGAAGCCGUGCGCUGGCAUGCCGCGGCCCCCACCAUCGGGCUGUGGGGCCCCGGGCGCCAAGCGACCGAUGCGGGACUUCUUCGCCAACUGGCUGGCCACCCUCCGCUCGCCGCUCCUUCCGCUGCUCCGCCACGCGCUCUCCUCCUCGUCCAGCUCCUGGGACGACCCGCUCUCCUUCGCCACCACGGCCGUCAAGGCACACUUCCAGGUGCACUGGUCCGCGCUCGACGCCGCCACGCGCUAGGAGCUCACCUUGCCUCCAUCGAUCCAUCCCUCCGUGGAUCUAUCCUGCCCAGAGGCGGAGUCAGUGGAGCCUGGUGGCCUCCCCUUGGAAUGCGCAUGUUCCACCAAUAGCUAGGAUUUGGUGGUGGUGGGGAUUGGGGAGGGGAGGAUGCACCACCCCGGUGGCGUGCGUGGAGGAGACGAAACAAGGGGCAUGCGCAGAGGAGACGGAGCUGACGGUGUGGAGGAGACGAAGCUGGGGGUAGGCGUCGAGGAGACAAGCCAGUGGCGCGCAUGGAGGAGAUGGAGCCGGGGGCUAGCGCGGAGGUGCUAGGGGCAGGCACUGAGGAGACGAAUCUAGCAGCGCAUGUGGAUCGGAGGAGACGGAGCCGACGUGCCUUGGUCGAGUGGAGCGGAGCGAGACUGAUGACCUGUUUGUUUUGGAUGGAUUGGCGGGAUUAAAUCCUAGCUGGAUUGAGUGACACGGGUGGAUUCACUCAAACCGGACCUGGAAGUAAUCCUGGCCGGAAUCCAAUCCGACUUAAACGAACGAGGCCUCAAUGGUAUCGUGCGUUUGCAGAUGAAAGGAAGGGAAAGUACCUGAACUUAGAUUUGUAUAGGUAGCAGUUACGGAUUGGAGGUAGAAGUAAUAAUUUGAGACGGAGGGAGUAAAUGUACAUGUAGAUGUAUAGAAUUGUUCAUAAUGCGUGCUCACGAGUCAAGCAUUUCACAUGGAACCUGGGCAUCCGGUGAUUACUUGACUCAGCUGGAUUUUAGUCUGUUCACUUGGUUAUGCAUCCGUACGUGCAGACUACAUGGGAUCUAUUCCAUACGACAGCAGCAAUUAAGUUGAUCAAAUUGUUAACAAGCAAGACAAGAGUCAGCACCUAAUGCUCCUUCCAAUUGUACUAGUAUACUGUGUACGCAAGACUUUGAAGUUGGGCAAUGGGGCACGUACAAAAAUUCGUCCAAAAUUAGGUAGGAGAAGUCCAACUCUAGCUGCCGAGCUAGUCCAAGAGGGAUGGAAUGGAAGACCACGCUCGAAUUGUUCCAAGAAAUGCAUGCACAUUGACGUUGAGGCGGCUACACGCCUACACCAAGCAAUCUGCUAUAGCUUAUACUGUGGUUAACUGAAAUCUGGUACGGUUGGACCCGACUUUUUUGUACCUUUAUGCUUCUUGCUGCAUGCAGUACAGUGUUCCCCUGGAGUCAACGCACACCAGAACAACUAACCACCCAGAGAGAUGCGCCUGCUGUCUUUGCUCAUCCUCCUCUUCCACCCAUUGUACGUGUGUGACGACCAAAUGAUGAUCAGGUGCUAGAUUUUGGCUUCAUCAUCGUCUGCCUAGACUGAUUUUAAACCUUUAUUUAGUGUUGCAACCUUUCCUGUCUGGGCUCAUCUUUUCAGUAGAUACUAGUACAAUAGGCACAUCUCCUAAUUUUUUUUAAAAAAAAUAGAUGGCCUCCCCACCGGCCAGUUUUGUAUAUAUUCAAUAACGAGAGAAAAAAAAGAGAGAGAGUAAUUUACAGCAACACCCGUUUACUCUGUUUCAUGAUUCGUGUUAGUUGUGCCGAGCAAGAGGUAGCUAGAAGUGACAAUAAGCAGGAAGAAGGUGCCUUGAUAGAGGUUAAGGUUAAUGCCCUUCUACUUUAGGAUUAUUGUUAGGGUGGGUGGUGGGAGCAAGCCUAUUUAAGCCUAGACUAGAAAGGUGUCAAAAUAAUAGCAUAAGUAUUUUAUUGUUUAAACUGUAUGUAGUAAGGGUGAAAAAGUCUGAUGCAGCUUCCCUUUGUAACUUUGCUGACAUGGAAAAUUCCUUUGCAUCAUUGUACGUCUCUAAUUCUAGCUAGGGAUCAUCCUUAGCUUAGACUUACAACAACUAGUAAGAUUCCACCCUUCAGAUAUAAUAAGUCUCAAAGUAAAUUUCUUCCAUAUAAUAUUAAGUAUAGUAAUAUGUAUAUUAUUAAUUGUAAAUUCAUUGCUAAGCAUAUAUUUGAGUUACUAAUUAGUAGCGUAUAAUUCAAAAUUUACCCCCACUGGUUGUAAAGUAUUUUCUACUUUCUAUAUAUUGGAAAUGGCAUUAAAAGCAUGCUCCAUAUACUAGGGGACCCUAAACUCUGGAGGACAAUAGCGAGAGAAGCAUGGCCCUUGUCUUAAUCCAGACCGUUUGGCGCCCAAAAAGCACGCAGAUUAUCAUAUUUUUACAUACAGUUAGGAGUAUAAAAAUUAGCGCGGGAUCAGCGGCCGCUCCUGCCGUCAUUCCAUCCACCGCUGCGCUGCAAGUCCAAGAAAUCCUCGCAACCCAACACCAAGACGCCGACGAGGAAGAAGGAGGAGGAGGAGGAGGACGCGUAAUCAACACACAAAGGCGGAAGAUUCCAUUCCGAUCCUCCCAAAAUCCCGAGGCGCCCGCGCGCCUGCCCGCCUGCCCGCUUGCCAGCCAUGGCCGUGCCGCCGGAGGAGCACCGGCAGCGGGAGCAAGAAGAAGAAGAAGAAGAAGACAGCGACGAGUUCACCUUCCCCACGCCGCCGCCGCUCCUCGCCCGCGGCAGGGACGGGCGCCACCUGCCCUGCUCGGCGUCGGCGUCGUCCUCCCCGCCCGUCUGGCUGCUUUCCUCGCCGAUCCGCCGCAGCUUCUCCGCCGCCGACUGCGCCGCCUCGCCGUGGCGGGACCGUGUCCUGCUCGGCCGCCAGCGCCUCAACGGCGCGUGCUCCCCCGCGCUCAGCGACUACGCCGCCGCCGGCGGCUUCUGCGACGACGAGGAGGAGGAAGAGGAGAGGAUGGACAGCCUCUGGGAGGACCUCAACGACGACGACGCGGCGGCCGGCCGGCCCCGGAACGACGACCUGUUCCUAGCAGGCUCCCUCGACGUGUCGCGCCGCCGGUCCGUCGCCGGCGGCCCCGUCUCCGCCGAGAGGGCGAGGAGGGCGGCCAAGGACCAGCGCGAGGCCGCCGCCGCCGCGGUGCUGGGCGCGUCGAGGAGCUCGCGGCGCCGGGCGCCGGGGCUGGUGGUGAUGAUGCGCGCACUCAGGAGGAUGUUCGUGGCGCACAAGGGCAAGAGCAGGGUGCACAGGGACGAGCAGAGCGCCGCCUCUGCAUCGGCUUCCUCCUUCCUGCAGUAAAAAUCCCUUCAACAAAGGAUGAGCGGAUGCAUUUUUUGGUGAAGAAACUCAGCCUUAUACUCUUCUAAUGCGUUUAUUUCGUUUUAAAUCCUGUUGUGCUUCCAUUUCUUGACUGGAUUAUUGUUCCGGGCCGGCCAUGUUGAUGAUCACAGUUCUAAUGUGCAUCGUUGUGGAUAGUAGUUCUAUCUGUUUUUUUCUCUUUUGGUUACAAAGAAAAAAAGAAUUGAUGUUCUAAUUAGACUGUAAAUGUUAUAUGGACAGAGUUGGAGAUCGCCGAGGCUGUUCUCUUUCACCCUCUCUUUCUAGAAUUUUAGAUUGUGUUUGUAAUUAUAUUCCUGUGUUUUCCUAUAAUCUGAGAUGUACGAACCAUGGUGAGAUUGUGUUCUGAAUAACUCUACUUAAUUAGCUGCAUGCCUGCAUACUGCAUAAGCCCAUAAACCACCAAUACAAUUAUGUAUUUUUUUUCAAAAAAGAACAUGCCCUGGAUUAUGUACUCGAUUAUCCUUUGCUUGGACUAAAUUACAGGCGAAGAAUUAGGCACAUGUCCACUGUCAUCUGCUAGAUCAUGGAAGCUGGAUGAUUCGGAUGCAUUAGGACAAAACCCACCAGCAGCUUCUUAGGUUGGACCUGUCUGCACAAAUGGACAAGGUCGGUUAGGCCAUGUAACUGACGAGUGACGACCUGUCAAAUGAAGGCAUGCUGCAGUUGUUGUAGCAAUCAGGUCAACUUUGGGAAGCACCGAUGAUUCGAACAUUCAGUAGUACGCGCAGACUGACUGCCACCUUGAUGAUGACACACAUUUUCAGUUCUUGUCUGCUUGAGCAAGGUUGGUUCAGGGCCAAUUAUAUAUUUACAGUCAAUAGAUAAUUAACUAAUUCGCAGGAAAAUUAUAUAUAGAUCAAAGUGGUUUUAAGUUCUAACCCAACGAUGGCAUCGUCGUCGUCGCCUCCGCCGUGGCCCGAUCUCCUGCCGGAAGUCCUCGGACAGAUCGUCACCUACCUCUGCCCUGCCGAUGUCGCCCGCUUCCGGGCCGUUUGCCGCGCAUGGCACUCCGCCGCGCGCCAGCUGCAUGGCCAUCAGCACGAACAGCAGCUGAGUUCUUACCAUCCCUAGACAGACGGCCAUACCGAGCGUGUCAAUCAAUGCAUGGAGACGUUCCUUCGUUGCUUUGUUCAUGCGUGCCCAACCAAGUGGUCCAGUUGGUUAUCUCUUGCGGAGUUCUGGUACAACACUAGCAUGCAUUCAGCAUUGGGUCGUUCUCCUUUUGAGGUGCUGUAAGGUCACUCUCCAAGAUAUUUUGGCAUCCAGGCUGCUUCUGCAUGCACCAAUUCUGAUUUGUCUGCUUGGCUGCAAGAACGUGAGGUGAUGCAAGCACUUGUUAAACAUCAUCUCUAUCGAGCACAAGAUCGUAUGAAACACCAAGCUGACAAGGGGCGUUCAGAACACCAAUUUCAAGUUGGAGAGCUGGUUUGCCUUAAGCUGCAGCCUGAUGUCCAAUCUUCACUGUCCGCUCGUGCUAACCAGAAGCUUGCCUUUAAGUUUUUUGGGCCCUUCAAAGUGUUGCAGCGAGUGGGAUCAGCGGCAUAUAAGCUUGAGCUUCCAUCAGAUGCUACAAUUCACCCAGUUUUCCAUGUGUCGCAGCUUAAGAAGGCAAUUGGUGUUCAGGUAGUAUCUCCUGACUUACCUCCUGGUGAUACAACAUUUCAGGUCCCUGAGCGUGUUCUGGAGCGACGGAUGUCUUCUGGUGAUCGGCCGGUUCUCCAAGGUCUGAUCAAGUGGUCAGGUAUGCCUGCUGCAUUGCAUUGGCCACAUGAAAGAAUUUGGACUCUCUUCGUCAACGUCUUCCGCUGGCGCCGACUUAGGGGCAAGUCAUUUCUCAAGGAGAGGGGAAUGUUACCAGUACUUCUGCUGCAGCUGAUGACAAGGUGGAGAAUGCAAGUCCUGAAGAGGCGUGUAAUCAAGCCUAAUAGGAAAGUGAGCGGUCCGGACUGGAGGGUUUAGGUUAUAUGUGUAACAGUAGUGCGUGCGAGAGAGAGGCAUCACGGAUUGUAACAUCUUUCUGAACUCUAAACAUUCUUCCGCCGCCCGCCGCCCCUAUUCUUCUUCCUCCUCUGCUCCGAUCCCCAACUCGAGUUCGCCUUCCCUUCCUCGCUGUUAACAGGCGGUUCUCCACAAUGCCCUGGGGUACCUGGGCGUUCGCUGCUCCUGCAGUCCUGCUGCCGACGCCGGCGGCGUGCGCAACGUCAAAAGCUUCGAGCCUGCGAAGUAAAACUGCGUUUUUUUAAAAAAAAUUCCUAGAGUGCAUUCUGAAUCCUCUGAAUCCGCUUGUUGUAUGUUUUUUUGGGAGUUUUUGUGGUGGAUUCACCAACUGCUUAGAAUCACCAAAUCUGUAUAGAUACAUGUACAUUUCUAGCUAAGGUUAUGUGCUAGCUUUACUGCAGUAGCAGUGCCGCAUCUAAGUCCAGAGAAUUGUUUUAUCUGCACCUUUUGUGCACGCUGAAUUGAUUUGGCAACCUCAUUUUACUUUAUAUACGUAUAAUGCAAGAUAUUUCUGGUCAGUAUAUGAAUUAUCAAAAUCAGCGGCAAUAUGCACAAUGUUCAGACAAUGCUUAAGAAAUACUAGUUCUAGAAAAGGUUUAAUAAUCGUACAUGGGACUAUAGGAUUCAAUUGAAUGGAAGUACAAGGGAUAAUAAGAUCACGACACUCAAAGCAUCGUAUAGCCAGUAAAGCUACUGCCUCCGAAGGAGAACUAGGUUCUCAGUGUGAUCAUCAUAUACCAAUUUUGCAAUCAGGAAGAAUGCCAGCAAUGCAAGAGCAGCAAGUCCUCCAAAAACAAAUCCAUAGAUAAGUGCAUGAUGCAACUUGUGUUCUUGUGAGAUGGAGGAUUGGUGACUUGACACGGAGAUGCAGUGGUUGCUGAGUAACGCGCCACAGAGAUUAGGAUUCCCACCGUAACUAGAAUUUGAAAACGUAUCAAACUGUGCUCCAGUUGGAAUUGGCCCUUCCAGUUCAUUAUUAGACACAUUGAAUAGAGAAAGGAAGUGCAGGCCACUCAAUGCAGAUGGGAGUUCACCGGUGAUAUGGUUGUUUGACAGGUCUAGCAUUUGUAGGUUUGUGAGCUUGCAGAUUUCUUGGGGUAUUUCUCCAGAAAAGCCAUUGGAACUGAAGUUGAUGACAUUGAGCAUUUUCAACUGACCAAUCUCAGGGGGGAUCGUUCCAGUGAAUCUAUUGUUUCCUAAGUUCAAUACACUGGGGAAAGCAUUGAGCAUACGGUAUUGAUGUGACUGUGUCCAAUAUACAGGUAACUCAAGGAACUUCAUGUCCAACUUGGCAGAAUUCUUCUUAUAUUGUAGCAUCGGCAUCUCCAUCAAUGCCAUUGGGAUAUCCCCUGUAAUCAUGUUGCUUGAUAUGUCCAGAAAGAAGAGGAGUUCCAGUCUGUUAAUCCAUGAUGGUAUCAGCCCAGUGAGUCGAUUGCUGGAUAAAUCUAGCACCUCCAACUUUUUGAGCUUUGACAGCCAAGGGGGGAUUUGUCCGACCAAUGGGCAACCAUCUAAGGUCAGUAUCUGAAGAUUCUCAAAACCAUCAAUUGUUUCAUCCUGUGGCAUAGUUUCGCCGUUGAAGUUGGUUCCUAUUACUAAAGUGGUGAGGUUCUUGCAGCUCUUGAGAAUCUGUAUCACAUUUGUGAUGUUUGUAAAAGAGUUAUCUGUCAGUGAAAGGAAGGAGAGAGACCUAAGAUUUCCUAUUCUUGGUGGCAAUUGGCCAUGAAAAUCAUUGUAGGCCAACCGCAAUGCAAUUAAAUUGCUGCACAAGCAAAUGCUUUCUGGAACUUUACCUGUGAAGUAGUUCAGCGAAAAAUCUGCUGUUCUCAGAUCGAGUAGGGUGAAGUUGACUUUGCUGAGAUCUCCGGAAAAACUGUUGUUUCUGAGGUUGAUAUACCUGAUAUUUGAGCAGUUACCUAGGGUCGAUGGCAGCUCACCAGACAUGAGGUUGUUGUCCAAGUGGAGCUCCUCCAAUUUUCUUAGCCGGUCUAUAGAAUCUGGGAUUUUGCCUCUGAGACCAUUUGAUCCAAGAUCAAGGACCGUCAAAUUGUUGAGUUUGACCACUUGGGAACCAUCAAAAACUCCUUGUAAACCAUUGUUAGGAAAAGAGAGGUGUUCCAAUGAGGUAGCACUGAAGAGUUCAUGAGGAAGAGCUCCACUAAGGUCGUUGUGCCCAACCUUGAUCACUCUCAGCAUGGAGCAAUUGCCAAGUUCUGGAGGUAUAUUGCCGCUGAAUUUGUUGUAACAAAGGUCCAGAACACUGAAGGAAGGGGAGCUCUUACAGAUAGAGGCUGGUAUCUGUCCUGCAAAGCUAUUAUUGCUAGCAUUAAGAGCAAUCAAAUUCUUCAUUGCGCCCCAUAUUGUGGAUGGAAACUGUCCCGUAAAGAAGUUGCUCGAGAUAUUCAGUACCUGCAGAGGAAGAUUGUGAUUUAAAGGUCGCAGCUCUUUCAAGGGACCUGUCAGAUGGUUGAAGCUGACAUCAAGGACAGCGAUGCUGUUGUGCAACACCAAUUCAGUCGGUAGAAUUCCAUGCAGAGAAUUGUGGGAGAGGUUGAGAUUCAUUAACCCUGUGAGAUUGGCAAGGGACGGCGAUACACUCCCCGUAAGUCCUUUAGAAGCUAAUGAGACACCCAUGACCGUGUUGUCACCUCUGCAGGUGACCCCUUCCCAAGCGCAGCAGUCAGUACCAUGCAUCCAUGACAUUCUGAGGCUGCCAUCGCUGCCUGGUGAGAGCUGAGCAAGGAAGUCUAGGAGGGAGCUCUGCUCGUCCUCCGUGCAGGAACUGGUGAGCGAAGCAAAGGUGAGCAGCAGCAGAACAACAAGGCCAAGGAAAGUCAUGGUGAAUUUUUGUUGGUGCUGAAGCUGAAGCAUGGGAAAUGGAGGAGACAUGGUUCUCAUGAGUCUGGACUGAGUAGUUCAGUACUUGAAUAGAUCUAAAGAUCUCAACUGAAAUGAGAGAAAACAAAAUUAUGCUUGUUGAUGUUGCAUGUAGAAUAAUUUUAAGCCUAUUCUAGACUUCUGUUUAUACAAUUAGAUGUUACAUGGACUGCAAGUAACAAAUUCAGGAGAGCCAACCACUAUGACUAUGCUGCAUUCACAAUGAUAGCUACACUAAUAGAAGGUUACAACACCGAAGAGAAGUUGCUGGGUAAGUAUGGUCAGAGCCAGCGAAUCCUAGCCUGCUAUAUGUUACAGACUAUGCCGUUGGUAUUCCAGUACAAGUCUUCUCAAUAUAGGAUAAAUAUCAGAGCUACGGUUUUAAUUAUAUGUUUUUUUUGGAAACACAGUGAGGUGAACCCCACACAAACUUGGGGAGGAAGUUCAGCAGUGAUUUUUUCUUGGAGUGCAGGGGCCAUAAUGGGUCAUGUUAUCAGCGUCAUGAGGAUGAGAAUGACUAUUCCUCUGAAUGUUUUCAUGGAAACUUCAUGAGGAUGAGAAUGACUAUUCCUCUGAAUGUUUUCAUGGAAUUGUUUCCAUGAUAAUAGAAGGAUUGUGGACCUAAACAGAACUGAAAGAACAGAGAUUUAUAUAGAGAAAGGACAAUAAGCUGGCAGGCGCUGCUGAAGGCUGACCAUGCAAAGGUUAACGGCCAAGUGGUAGGUGUUAUGUCCAAUCCUUCAGCUGAAACAUGGAGGCUAAGCCAAAGGUUUGACCAUCUAACAUGAUCACAUCUCUGUAACCGGUAGCUCAUUUUACUGCUGGUGGUAGGUGUUAUGUGGAGGGAAAAAAUAAUCAAGAUUAGAAGCACAUCAAAUUUGAUCUUCUGAACAAGCACAUCAAAUUCUCCGAUACAUGAACGUUUGCGAUAGCUCGGUUUACUCAAUUUAAGAAGGCUAGAUUUGUCUUCUAUUCUUUGAUAAGAGAAGCUUUAUUAAUCUUAGACAACUACGUCAAGAUGAUACAACCAUAGCUGUGAUCCACACAGCUACCUAAGCCCUAAAGAAGUAGUAAAAAGCUAAAGACAUAACACCAUAUAUCCAUAUCGUAACAAAUAUCCAUUUCAGUACCUGGCUACUAAACUCCUGCGCAUGCAACCGGGCUUGAAUUGUGCAGCUAGGUUACGGGCAUAAGUACUCCUACAUUCUUAUGCAUUCCAUUUGAGCCGCUCGAUAAUUCUUGCCACGAUAAUGGAGACAAACACAAGCACCAGCAAUAUGCCUUCGUAAACGUAAUCCAUUGUGCUUCUGGCGGAGCCGAAAGUCAAUGCCCCCAUCAAAGCGAGGAGAUCCAAGACUACAAGCACGUUGCAUACCUUCAAUUUGCUCCUGCUGCUGCUGCUGAGGCGGCGCCAGAACAACUUCACUGGUUAUGAUUCCAUCGACUGCUUCAGGAGAAAACUGGGUGACGGUGACCUCUUGCAGGCUGUGCCAGAACAACUGCCGAUGAAUCACAGGCUCCCUGCAGAUACUUGGACGCCAGACAUGAUCAAGUAAUUCUUUUUUUUGAACAUUAAUGAUCAAGUAAUUCCGCCGGUUGGUUUCUUAAGUUAUCAGUACCUGGCCAUGAUCAGAAUAAAUGAGAAAAAACAACUAAAUUUUUUUAUGGAUAUAUGUAGUAGAUACCUUGCUCUCUGAAAGGUUAAAGUAAGUUUAUUUCUUUUAUAUAUGAAGCAAAAUAAAACCUUUGCAGUUUGAUUAAUUGAUUGAGGUUAGUUUUGACGUAAGUAUACUAAUACAAUUAGCAUGGUGAAAGCACCUUUAAUUAUACUAAUAUAUCCAAAUCUGAUUAGAAAAAUAGCAAAAGGACUAACGAACCUUUUAGAAAUAUAUAAACGCAUUUUCCACCUGCAAAUCAAAGGAAAUGAAAGAAUGAGACGGUAAGAAUCCACAUGACUUACUAGCAGAAUCACCUAGAUACUUCUUCAGGCCAAAUCUGGAAGAUCGGGUAGGGGAACAGCAGGGAGGGAGCGUAGUGGGAGCAGAGGAGAUGACCGGACCACCGGUGGUGAGGACGGAUUGGAAUUGGAGGCCGCAGGCAGGCGGCGCGGAGGUUGCGAAUGGAUGGGGCUCGGGACUCCGGGAGGUGGUGGUGGUGGUGGUGACUGCCUGACUGGUAAUGGCUGGGCACCGGAGAGGACUGCUGUGGCAGUGAGAACCGAGGAGUCGGCGGUGGUGGCCUGGUGGGGGAGCUUGGCACCAUUUUCUGUCGAGAAACUUUCGGCUACUCGGUGGUGGUGGUGGGAGUCAUGCUCGGCAAGGCCCAUCAGCAUUUUCCACCAGCGCUGCAAUGCUACCCUACAACAUGCAUCUUGGAUCUGCAUGAAUACACAUCAGCUUCAUUGGUAUCCUUUUUCAUCGGCACCAAGAUGUUUAAUUAAAACUGAGAACAUGCAGAACUUAGGACUUACUAGCAUCCUGAUAUCCUAGUCUGCAUGCCCAAUUCAAGAAGGGGGGCAAAAUGUCUAGGAACACUUCGGUGCUUUUUGUAGCAGCUUGUGCGUAUCUACCAAACCCUCUGUCUUCACUAUUUCCAUCGUCCUGUAUUUUGUUGAUUUUUAUGUAAUUCUCAUUAAGUUGUCGGCCAAUAUAGAAAUUUGGGUAAAUUCUUAGUUGCUGACUUAUUCAUCUUGUCCCUACUUCAAUGACCAACGAUAUCGAACUUUCAAUGAACAAGGCAUCACCUAGAAAAGAAAUGUUCCUCCAAUUAUUCAAAAAAUUAAAUGGUAAUAAAAGAAUGGAGUGGAGUUUGAACCCAACAAGCUAGCAAGCCAUUACUGCAAAUGUGGACCUUUGCAUCGCAGAAACAAUAAGGAAUGACUAGAGCAAAUCUCUUGAUCGAAGCAAAUGUGGAUGCUUCUCCAGCGAUGUUGGCGGCUGCAGUUGCCAUCCUCGCCGUUGUUGCAUCGCUCCCACUACUGCUCCGCCUCCUCUCUGCCAGCUCCGGCGGCAAGAAGACGAAGCCCCCACUGCCUCCCGGUUCGUUCGGUCUACCUUUCAUCGGGUAGACGCUCAGCCUGGUUCGCGCCCUCCGCGCCAACACCGCCGACGACUGGCUCCGGCGCUACGUGGUCGCGUACGGCCCCGUGUCGCGUCUGUCCCUCUUCGGCUGCCUGACGGCCUUCCUCGUUGGCCCCGCCGCCAACAAGUUCAUCUUUGCCAGCGCCGCGGUGACCGCCAAGACCGCCAAGACCCCCGAGUCCCUCGCCCGGAUGGUCGGCCGCCGGACGAUCCGGGAGGUGGUCGGUGACGAGCACCGCCGAGUCAGGGCCACGAUGGCGCAGUUCCUCAGGGUGGACGCCGUCAAGAGGUACGUCGCCGGCAUGGACGGAGAGGUCCGGCGCCACCUCGACGCCGAGUGGUGCUGCCGCGGUGCCGUGGCCGUGAUGCCGUCGAUGAAGCUGCUCACCUUCGACGUCAUGUGCACCGCCAUAUUCGGCCUGGGGAGGGACGCCGCCGUACGGCGGGAACUGUGGACGGAAUUCCAGCAGCUGGUGAGGGGCAUCUGGGCGGUCCCGGUCAACCUGCCCUUCACCAUCUACAGCCGCUGCCUCGCCGCGAGCCGGGAUUAAAUCGUCCGUGGAAAGGAUUGCAGGCGCCCGACAGUGGCGGGUGGCCGCCCGGCGCAAGCAGCCUCCACGUCGACCUCUCUGGAAUUACAGCACCACAUGAAGCUAUUCUCAGUAUCCCUCCAGGUAUUUGCAGAUGCUGCCAAUGAAUCACCUCCAUUUGACCCCGAGUACACUCUCAAGAUCGAGAUCUUCAAGGCGGACAUCAAUGACGGCAUAUGGGUUUCAGUCACGGGUCGUGAUGCGCUACAUGAAGGUGAGGCAUUCUUUCUCAGCCAUCAUUCAGAAAGUCCACCCAUGUGUACGGAGACAUGGAAGAGGGUUGUGUCGGGACUAUAGCCCCUUUAUUCACGGGUCAAUUUUAAACCGGGUAAAAGUGUAAUAUCCCUUAAAUUGAGCGAUAUUAAUUGUGCCAGUUUUUGUAAAAAAUUAAAACUUUUUAUUUGAUCGUGUGAAGCGUAUAAAUACUUGGUCAAAUUUAAGAUCAACCCUUAAUUCUUUCUUCUAAAUUCAAAAGCUAGUAAUUAAAUUGUGUAUUUAAAUUUAAAACAUGCUUGCACGAGUGAUUUAGAUUUUAUUUGAUUUAAUUUGGAUCUCAAAGGUAGAUCAAAAAAUACAAACUAAAACUAGCAUAAUAAAAAUCCAACAUGACUAACUCUAACUUGCACCCGAGCUUUUCACAACUCAGCCAGCUCGGUCUAAACGGCUAAUCCUUAUCUCUCUCUCCUUUUCACGUAAAAGCUCACCAGCUGUUGUUGGAAGCCAAUCAUGUUAGCUUUGCUUUGGGCUUAAACCUGUUUAGCAUCCAUCUUCUUUUGCUCCUUGUUUUCUCCUCGCACGCACACAAACUAGGAAUUUUUUUAUUUUUUAUUUUAGCAUUUUGCAAAAAUAUAUGGUCGGAUGAAAAAAUUGCAAAACUAGGCUAUUGUCGCCGGCUGGGCCGGCGGUAAGGCGCUUCCGCCGGUCCAGGCGGCGGUAAGGAGCGGUUGGGCCGGCGGAAGGCCUUACCGCUCGCCCAGCCAGCGGUAACGGGUACACUCCUCCGCACCAUACUUUUAAAAAAUCAUAACCAAUUCAUAUCAACUCGGAUGGAGAUAAACUUUAUAUAAAAUUUGUAGAUCUCGACGAGAUCUACAACUUUGUAGUUAAAUUUUUUUUCAUUUGAUGUUAUAUUGGUGCUCAAAUAAUUGACACAAGUUUCAGAUCUACAUCUGAAACUUGUGUCGAUUAUUUCAGCAACUAAAUGACUCCAAAUGAAAAUAGUUUGAACUACAAAGUUGUAAAUCUCGUCGAGUGCUACAAUUUUCAUAUAAAUUUAUUUCUAUCUGAACUUAUAUGAAUUAUUUAUCAUUUUUGAAAGUGUGCUGCCUAAUUUCAAAUCUAAAAAUUAAAUUUUAGAUCUGAAACUUGUGUCGAUGUUUACCGCUAGAUUUUUCCAAUAGAGUGCUCAUGUUAGUAAAAAGAUUUUUCACCGUUGGAUCCUACCUUUGCCGCUCUAUUUUUAUCCCAAUGAUGAUUUUAGCGUUGGAUAGAAGUAUCGCGAGUCUUGUGGUGGCUAUUCGGCAAAGUAAAAUAUCUGGAUUUUAUAGUACCUAGCUAGCGUUGGCUAGAAACAUCGCGAGUCUUGUGGGGGUUAUUCGGCAAAGUAAAAUAUCUGGUCAUCUCCUCAUCUUUUCCCUGUAAUAAAAGGUGGGAAGCUUGCCAUCAAUGCAUUGUACAGUCCUUCACAAAAUGCCUUUUUAUCAAACUACUGUACAUUAGAUAGAAUAUAUUAAAAUAAUGGAAUCGAUUAAAACAAUGAAGAAAAUAUCCCUAGGAGAUUUGGAGGUUCUUCAUCAGAUGAAAUAGAUUAAAAAAUGAAGGAAAUGUCCUAGGGGAUUAAAAAAUGAAGGAAAUGUCCUAGGGGAUUUGGAGGCUCUUCUUAUGAACAAAUCAUGUUCCAGUCCAAUUUUAUGAUUUGCUACACAUCAAAAAAAAUACACAAACAUCUAACCUAUAUAAAAAAAUUACAAAAACAUCAUAAAUCAACAUGUGCAAGGAUGGUUUAUUGUAGCUAACUACCCAAUGCAACAUGCCAAAUAAAUUGGAUGACCAAAAAUCUAUCAGCAUCUUUCCUUCCUUUGUUCACAAGAGAUGGGUACUGGGUUUGGGCGCCGGAGUCAGCUGCCAGCAUCAGGGAUAUUGGACCUAAUAGAUCAAAAAAUAACAAUUCCACACAACAUCAAAAUAAUUUGCUAAAGCGGGUUGCUGACGCCGCUUCUUUCUCCUGACACUCCUGACGCUCCCUUGCCUCGCGCUCCCUCGCUUCCCUGGCUUUCUUCUCUGCCAUCCGGUGCCCCUCCUCGUGAUCGCGGGUGAACUUGACUUUGUACAGGCCUUCCUUGAGACGGCAAGGGCGGCACCCCCACCACUCCAUCUGAUUCAACAUCUCGCCGCCGAGCGCCCCCACCCCCACCGGGGCAUCCGCGCGCGCGUUGGCUUCUCUCCGCGCGCGCGCCCGCCCCACCGGACUGUCGUCACCGUUGCCGCCCUCGAGCUCGAGCGCGAGCGCGUCGUUCGCGGUGGCUCCCCCCAUUGGUCGGUCCCGCCGAGCGCCGCCUCCCUUCGUCGCGUGCGUCGCCGCCGCCGCCGCCCGCUGUGUUGCUUGAGGAAGGAGUUGAAAGAGGAGCCUGCUGAUGGCUUGGGCCGAAUUUUCGGGUGGUAUAGAGAGGCUUUGUUUUCUCGAGCGAGGUUGUUUUAUCAGUAUACUUCUGUAGAUAACUUUAGUUUGUAUUUUUUGAUCUAAUCCAAAAAUACAAACUUACCUUUGAGAUCUAAAUUAAAUCAAAUAAAAUCCAAAUCACUUGUGCAAGCAUGUUUUAAAUUUAAAUGCAUAAUUUAAUUACUAGCUUUUCAAUUUAGAGGAAAGAAUUGAGGGUUGACCUUAAAUUUGACCAAGUAUUUAUAUGCUUCACAUAAUCAAACAAAAAGUUUUCAUUUUUUGCAAAAAUUAGAACAAUUAAUAUCACUCAAUUUUGAGGGAUAUUACACUUUUGUCAUGAUUUAAAGUUGGCCCGUGAAUAAAGGGGCUUUAGUCCCGACGCAACCCUCCAUGUCUCCAUACACACGAGUGGACUUGUUGAAUGAUCGGCUCAGAAAGAGUGCCUUGCCUUCAGUUAGCGUAUCGAUCCGUGAUUGAAACCCAUCUGCCAGCAUUGAUGUCCGCCUUGAAGAUCUCGACCUUGCAAGUGUACUUGGGGUCAAAUGGAGAUGAUUCAUCAGCAGCAUCUGCAAUUACCUUGAGGGACACUGAGAAUAGCUUCCUGUGGUGCCGUAAUCCUAGAGAGUUGUGGUGCCGUAAUCCGGUCGACGCGGAGGCUACUGGCGCCGAGCGGCCACCCGCCGUUGUCGGGUGCCCGCAACGAGUACUGCCUCCGGAGCUCCUGGAUCUUCGGCUGGAUCCGCUUCCACACGAACUCAACCUCCACGAUGGGUGCCCCCGCCGCGACGGGCGGUAGUGGGGGUAUGGGGCCCGCAAGCGCUGACACCAACGUGAGGAGGUGCUCAAGCUCACAGUCGGCGGCCAUGGCGAGCAGCGGGAACGCGGGGCCUGACGGCGAGGAGGAGGAGGAGGAGAAGCUCCCGGUGCGCGGCCAUGGCGAGCGGCGGGCGUCCGGGGGCGGUGGAUGGAGGCGGAGGGACUGCGCGAGUGUGUGCGGGAGAAAAAAUAGAACGGGAUGAAACGAACCGGUAUGUUCAUAAUUUAUGGUAGGUGGGUAAUUUUUUACCCUAAAAUCACUUGAAAAUAGGGGAAGGUGCUUUUGAUUUUGGACUGGAGCAAAAGUAACUUUUGGGCAAAAGCACAUGUGGCUUGUAGGUCAUUUGGUUAGCUUUCGACUUUUGUAAAAGUAAAAGCAGGUCGAAAAGCUCAAUCAAAUGCACCCUAAUAAACUUGCGGACGCAGACUUAACUAUAAAGCUGUUGUGCAAGGUCUGGAAGCAAGUACACCGCGGAAUUCAAAGUAUUUCUUCUGACCAACUCGCACAGGUCAAGAGCAUAGUUCGUGGCUAUUCCAAGAAAUCGUACGAAGACAAAACCUUUUCUUCGCUACUGUCAUCAUCAGAAUGAGGUGACAUGAUUUAAUAGCUCAUAUAAGAUGUAGGCAUGUAGCGUCUAAACGACUUUAAUAGUUCGGCAUGCACCCACCCAUCAACUUUCAGUGCUCUCUUUUAUAAGGAUUAAUUCAUUGUUUAUUGUUGGCUAAAAUGAUGACCAUGAACAUAUUCUCAAGAGUUUCUGUGUCCGUUUAAGACAUUUGAAGGUUAAAGAAAGCACCAUCAACAAGAAACAGAUUUGUAAACACAGAGGGAAGGGUCAAUCUCCCCCUAUACGGAUGCAUUCAAACUAUUAUUGAUGCUUUGUUGUUGCCUUCUAACUAGUUCUAGUGCUGCUUGUGCGUCAAACCAUGAGUUUUGGAGGGAAAAGCCCGUUUGCUAUGCCGUGGAAGGCUAAACGGCCUGCAAGACGAGGAUCUGGUGUCGAAUACUUGGUCCACAUCCACAAAAUAUAUGCAAACCUCCUCCAUGUCUCCAUACACACGGGUGGACUUGCUGAAUGAUCGGCUGAGAAAGAGUGGCUCGCCUUCAGGUAGCGCAUCACGAACCGUGAUUGAAACCCAUCUGCCGGCAUCGAUGUCCGCCUUGAAGAGGUCGACCUUGCGAGUGUAAGAGGGGUGAAAUGGAGGUGAUUGCACCUGCCGCCUCACCAUGAGCAACUCUUGGCCGCCGCAUGACUCGACAAGGAACCUACUGGUCGUGAUGUAGUCCUUGGGUUCAUAUGGCACCUCCUCGUCCACCCCAACCUCGUCAGCGCUUGGAACCAGCUGGCCAUUAUCAGGAUUGAAGCUAUCAGCUGCCUCAUCACCGGACUCUUCUCCAUCAUCACCACCACCAUCAUCGGUAUCGUAGUCAUCAUCCAUCCAGCUCCACGGGUCUUCUUCACCAUCAGCUAACGGAUGCCUGAUGACUCGCUUAAAUUUGGGAACAAUUGGACUCCCGUCGUCGUCUUCGGUAAGGUCGAAGGCGACUAGGUCCUCAUGUCGUGUGAUCCCGUAGAGUUUAUCUUUGAAGAAAGCAACAUCGAAGACGCCUAGGUAGGGAAGCACCCACCUCCCCUUGCCGGGGCGGCACGGAUGAUGGUGCAGUUGUCGUUGUUGGUGGUGACGGCGACGAGGUCAUUAGGACUAGCGUCACGCGUCCUCCUCCUCCUCCUUCCUCGUCGGCGUCUUGGUGUUGGGUUGCGAGGAUUUCUUGGACUUUGCAGCGCAGCGGUGGAUGGAAUGACGGCAGGAGCGGCCGCUGAUCCCGCGCUAAUUUUUAUACUCCUAACCGUAUGUAAAAAUAUGAUAAUCUGCGUGCUUUUUGGGCGCCAAACGGUCUGAAUUAAGACAAGGGCCAUGCUUCUCUCGCCAUUGUCCUCCAGAGUUUAGGGUCCCCUAGUAUAUGGAGCAUGCUUUUUAAUGCCAUUUCCAAUAUAUAGAAAGUAGAAAAUACUUUACAAUCAGUGUGGGGGUAAAUUUUGAAUUAUAUAUACGCUACUAAUUAAUAACUGGAAUAUAUGCUUAGCAAUGAAUUUACAAUUAAUAAUGAGGGAAAGGAGUCCUUAAACGCAUCCAACUCAUUAUUUCUGGUCCGCACCGCCGUUAUAUAUAUCCAACAAUGGCAUUGCUCGAUCGCGACCCUGAAAUCCACAGAUUGUAAGAAGCUCAACGAUGGCAUCGUCGUCGCCUCCGCCGUGGGCCGAUCUCCUGCCGGAAGUCCUCGGCGAGAUCGUCACCUACCUCUGCUCCGCCGACAUCGCCCGCUUCCGGGCCGUUUGCCGCGCAUGGCACUCCGCCGCCGCGUGCGAGCUGUAGGACGAACAGCAGCAGGUGAUGCUGUGGAUCGUGAUCCCCAAUGGCUCCUUCUGCACCAUCGGCGACACCGGCGCCUUCUUCAACCGGAUUCCCAGCCUGCCUGACAACGUGACCUGCCUCGGCGCCACCGACAGCUGGCUCGCUCUCGACUGCACCGACGAUGUGUUCCGGCGCACAAACCUCUGGGACACGUACCGCGACGGCGAAUUCCUCGAGCCCAGGAGCGACGUCAAGCACGAGCACAAUUACACAACCCCUUCUACGAAAAGACCGUGCCGCUCCCCGAGCUCGACUCCAUCGCCGGCCAUGUCAACGAGACGUUCGAGAUCCGCAAGGUGCUCAUGCGCUCCGCUAGUCCUGAUGACCUCGUCGCCGUCACCACCAACAACGACAACCGCACCAUCAUCCUGUGCUUCCCUACCUAGCAUUCAAAGGAAAACUCUGCAGGUAGUACUAGUGCUCCAUCAGUUGCAGAAUGUUGAAAUGCUAAAUAUCAUGCAGACACACUAUGGCAAAUGUCGUACAGACAUACUGAAUUAUAGUUUAACUAUGCGUUAUUCAUACAAGGAAAUAUUUGAUUAGUAAGGUAGCAAGUAACAUCGGCAUCCCUCAGUUCCAAGUAGUACAUUCAUAAAUUUUAGUAGUACCCAUUCAUGUUUGUAUCACUGAUAAGGAACCGUAAUGAAUUCACCUUUUACGUUCAUCUUGCUGUUGUGCGAAAUUGAAAGCAGUAGAUCCUACAUCAAUAAUCAACCCUUGCUGUUAUGCGUUUGCCUCCCUCCGCCGCCGCCCCACCCGCGCCGGAGCGUCGUCACCCCCGAGCGCGUGCGCCAGUGCGUCGUUCGCCGCCGCAGCUCUCCCCAUUGCUCUCCCACGCUUCCGUCGCCGCCGCUCGCUGCGAGGUGGCUUGAGGGAGGGGAUGAAAGAGAGACGGCCUGCGGGCUGGAGUAAAAGGAAGAGAGGCGAGCUGGGCUGGCGAGCAGGCUGCGGGGGACAAAGACGAGACGGCCUGCGCGCCGGCUGGGGCGCUGGGAGGGCCGCGAUGCUGGGCCAGAGGAAAGGGGCGGCCCGCUGCAGCUGAUGGCUUAGGCCGAUUGCUGCGGUGGGCUGGGCCGGAAGGAGAGGCAGGGCGAGAAGCGAAUUUUUUUAUUUUUAUAUUAUUUUUUAACGAAUUUUCACAAAUAUAUAAUCAAAUAAAAAAUUUGCAAAAUAGGCUUGUGCCACCGGUUGAAUAGAGAGGGUUUGUUUAUGCCUGUGCUGCUGUGCCGAAGGCACGAGGUAUCUUGCCCAGGGGAGUCUCAGACCUUGCUGCUGGGCCGAAUAUCUUGCACUAGAUAUUAUAGAUGUACAUUUGGGCCACCCGGCCCGGUCCAGCACGGCCCAGCAUGGCCCGUUAUUUUUUGUGCCGGGUCUAGCCCGUCAUGAGGACUCCGUCGUGCCGAGUUGUAACGGCCCACGGGCCUCACCGGCGGCCCAAGCACGGGCCCGUAAAGCUUUUUUUGUGUCGAGCCGGCCCGAAGAUCCCGGCCUGCUUUGGGCCACGGGAGGCACGGCGGGCCACCGCCGCUAGUCCGCUACUGUCCCCUCGUGCCGCCACCAGCCUCCCACGCCGUCGAUGCCGUCCCCCCGCGGCUAGCACCGCCACCGGCCUCACACGUCGUCGUUGUCAUCCCCCCGCGCAGCUGCUCCCCGGCCGGCCCCUGCGCUAUCGUGACCACUCCCUGCCCCUCCCCCCGCGCUGCUGUCCCUCCGCGCCACUGCUCCCUGGCCGGUCCCCACACUGUCGCCGCCGCUCCCCGACCCCCCGCGCCGCCGUCCCCUUGCACGGCCGUCGCUGUCGUCCCCUCACGCCGCCACUCUCCAGCCCCCUGCGCUGCCGCUCGCCGAUGGGGAAGAUGCGAGAGAUGGGUGGAGGAUUGGAGCCUGGACCGGAGGUUGGAGAUUCGGUGGCCUGGACUGGAGGUUGGAGAUUCAGAUUCAAUUGGAGAUAGGAGAGGUCGAGAGGAAGGGGUGACGCCGUGACGGGUGGAAGAUUGGAGUUCAACGGUGCAUAGUAUUUUUUUGUUGCUAUUAGGUUAACGGGCCAUUUCGGGCCGGAAUGCAAAAAUUGUGCCGGGCCAUGACGCCCGUCGUGCCGAGGCGACAACCCACGCCUAGCACGAGUCAUCGGGUCAGGCCAGGUUGGGCUUGAAAUGGGCCAAAAAAUGGGCUUUGUGUUGGACUGCGGGCUGCAUGGUCAUCUAUACUGUACUAGAUAUCUUGCUGCUGGGCCGAAUAUGUUCAGCGUGCGUAAAGUAUUUAUUCGAUAUCAGAAUUGCUAUUGUAUCUGUGCAUGCUUUUACUUGAGGACUUAUGUGUGAAUACCUAUAGUACUGCUGAGCUUUUGUAUCAUGGACUGUAAGGAGGACAUAAAUAAAAAUUACGUCUGUUCCAUUGUUAGAUGUUUCCUACACUGUUAACCUAACUAUUUAUUCGAUAAAAAACUUGGAACUUUAGCUGCUUCAGACCAUAAAAGUAAAAUCUUGCUUUGCUAAGCCCUCAUUUGUAUGUCUCCAGGGAUAAGAAUGUGAAGCACCUGUGCCAUCAUCAUCAUCAGCUUAGCAGGGUCACUUUGAUAUUCCAACGAAAGGCACCUUGCUAGCCUCCCUGAUUGCCCCCUAACAAUGAAGACGCAUGAGCGAGCUGCCAAUUUGGCUCUUGCUGGUACAUUUCUUGUUCAAUUCAGUCAUCGCUGCCUUUGCAAUCUUUACCUUGAUACCUUCUUCCUUUUCUUUUGAUAAAAAUGAAAACUUGCUGACCUCUGCGUCCUCUUUUUUUUAACAAUAUAUGCAGCUUUGAGUUUGGCACCACUUGUGGUUAAUGUAAACCCAAAUGUGAAUGUGAUAUUGACAGCAUGUCUUACUGUCUAUGUCGGUUGUUACCGUUCUGUCAAGCCAACUCCACCCGCUGUAAGAAAUAUGUUUUUCUUUGCUAAGUAUAUGUAUCUUCUGGGUAUUGCCUUGACAUGAAAAUCAUGAGACUAAUUGAUUUCUUUGCUAAGUAUAUGUAUCUUCUGGGUAUUGCCUUGACUCAACCAAACCAGCUGCAAGAGUCCAAAGCAAACACGGUUCAAACCGGUCAGUGGUUAUGGACCUCCUUCCUAAGUAGCCUUUUGAAAGGCUGAGUUCGACUCCACCUGGGCUCCUCUUUUUUGAGGAUUUGUACUCACUUUUUUUUCCUUUUUUUUCCUUUCGGCGGGUGAGUAUUUUUGCUCACUUUUUUCCGGGGCGGUUCACAGGUGGGGUCACGGUUUUCCUCUGGUUCAGGGUAGUACAGCUCCUCUUUUUUGAGGAUUUGUACUCACUUUUUUUUUCCUUUUUUUUCCUUUCGGCGGGUGAGGAUUUUUGCUCACUUUUUUCCGGGGCGGUUCACAGGUGGGGUCACGGUUUUCCUCUGGUUUAGGGGUAGUACAGCCUCGGGAUGCGGUUUUCUUUCGGUUCAGGGUUACAGAGGCUAGUUUUUCUCCGGUUUUGCACUCCAUGGUCCGAUUCAUGUGGUGGGAGUCGAUUUUUCUUCUUCUUUUUACCAGUUCUAUGUGACGGACGAAAAUUAGUGGCAAAAACCUUGCUUGCUUUAAUAUUAGGUAGAGAUAUACAAAAGAGGUGGAAUAUCAAUAUAGUAGAAAAGAAGCCCAUCUAGUCCUGCCAUGUUAAUGAAAAGAAAAAUAAAAAUCAGUUCGGCGGUCAAUACUAACAAAAAAAAAUUCUCUCUAGAAAACACUCAUUGGCCUUUGGGGCGAGGCGGGCCAUGAGAGCGGCAGUGGUAUUGCUGGCAUUGUUCUCCUCGAUGAAACUGAUAGUGGAGUUGAUGAUGAGUAGAGUGAUGAUCCCUACAAAGUCCUGCCAGUCCGGUGGCUUCCCCUGAAAAAUCAGCAAAACACAUUAAACCCUCUGAACCCACAGCUCCAACAAGACACCCGCUGUGAGAAUCAUUCACUUACUCCUCCGUUGGAGGGCGCGAUGGCCACGAUGGCGGCUGCCUCCAUGACCCAGGACAACGGGUUCCACAUGAAGCCCAGAAACUUGAGCACCUUGCUCCCCGCACAAGCACACGCACACAAAUCUAUGAUGUAACUUCACAUCACACCAUCUGCUAGAUCGAGUAACAAACCGAGUAACAGGAGCAGAAAGGCACGAGGCAAAGGCCGCGGAUUCACCUGCUUCUCCUCCAGCUUGUUUCGCCUGCUCGGUGGAGAGGCCCUGCGGGCUGCAUCGUAGGUUCUCGAACACCUCCUCGAUCGGGAUGUUCUCCUGCGCAGUCACAAGAAAUAUGAUAGGAAGAUGGCACAACUUAUAUCGACACCAUAUUGAAGUCGACAGUACCGGAUUUUUGGAAGGACUCCAAUCAUCCAAUCAAUUGAAAUAUCUUUGUCUGAGAGGCAUCUCUAGAAUCACUGAACUUCCUGCUUCCAUUGGUGGACUCUCAAAUCUCAGGAUCUUGGAUCUUCAUUCUUGUCAUAACCUUGAGAGGCUGACUGCAAGCAUCACGUCUCUUCAGAUGCUCACCCACCUUGAUGUGUCAGAGUGUUACUUGCUGGAAGGCAUGCCGAGGGGUAUUAGCUUUCUUACUGAACUUCAAGUGCUCAAAGGGUUUGUCAUUGGUGGUUCCACUGGCAAUUACAAUUGUCGGGUAGCAGAGUUGGCCAGGCUGGACAAAUUGAAGAAGCUGAGUGUAUAUAUUGGAAGCAAAGUUACAGUGAUAGAAGACGAAUUGAUUGAGCUUGAGAACAUCAAAGGCCUUCGCGUGCUGAAAAUUACAUGGGCUGUAUCACUUUCAAAGAAGGAGCGAGUUCAUCAAACUUAUGAUUCAACAUCAUUGCUAACUUCACUUUCCCUACCUCUAAAUCUUGAAAAGCUAGACCUGCGCUGCUUCCCUGGAGAGAAGAUACCAGAUUGGUUAAGUCCAAGUAAGCUGUUGAGACUGAAGAGACUAUACUUCACCGGAGGAAUGCUAAAUACCUUUGGCGAAAAAAAACAUGUCAGAGGUGUGGAACAUUGAGGUAUUGCGCCUGAAAUUCUUGAAUGAUUUAUCAGUGCAAUGGAUCCAGGUGCUUGACAUAUUAGAUGUAUGAAGCUGAAAUCUUUCCCUUGCGACAAGGAUGGGGUCUGGAUGAACUCUGACAUGCAGGAAGUCAGCAAACCAAGAACAGAAUCGUCCACCUUUUUGGGGGGACACGCGUUGGAGAAAAACAAUCUCGCUGCUCGGGAGCGGCGGAAAACGGCGCGGAUUGGGCGAACGAGUGCGGAUUGAGAAGGCGAGACGAGCACUGAAAAGGUGAAAUGAAAAAAAGAAAAAACAUGGAGAGAAAUCGAGCGUAGCCGCAGCGAGAUGCGGCACAAGACUAACACGAACUGGAGGGACUCCAUGGGCCUCCGCCCUGCGCCGCCGCAAGCCCCGCCCUCGCCGCCGUCCCCUUUGCCGGCCCUCCCAUGCCGCCGCCAGGCGAGAGGAGAGGGAGCCACGGGCGAGAGGCUUGGGCGAGAGGACCGGAAUGGCGCAGACACUGCGCACGCGGAGGACGGGAGUAUACGAAAUAAGCAAGCUCACAACCGAAGCACGGGCCUAUUAUUAAAGCCAUGGUGUUUUUGGAGCAGCAAUCAGCAACAGAAACACAGCUCAAUGCAGAGACAAAGCAGGCAUCAACAGAAAAGCAAGCAACAAUACCAAAUAAGCAAGCAACCAUGCCAUUCCAGGUAGAAUAAGGUUCACGUUCUAAGAACUUGAUGACAAGUCACUGGACCACACUACUAAUAGUAUACGAGGGAGACCAACAAAAUCUCAAGUUUUGUCACCACUGUAGAACACCAAGAUUAUUUACUUUUGUUUUCCAAACACUAUCAUAUCCUCUGCAGUAAAUCUCGCUGCCGGCUUGGCCACAUCUGGAGUCUUAGCCUGCAACAUGUGGAAAAGAGAACCAAAGAGUGAGCGACUAGCAGCCAAACCAAGAGUGAGCGACUAGCAGCCAAACCAAAGUCAGAUCUCAGUAUGCAGGAACAAGCAACUCAACUCUUAAUGAAAAAAUGUGGAAUAAUUGAGAACACUAAGAAGGUAGAACCUGAAGCUCAGGAAAAGUUCAGAAACAGUUCAUUAACCCGAUGCUGGAUAAAACAGCGAAGAAUCUGCGUCAAGCCUUUGGCCUAAAUGGUCUGAGGGAGACCCUCUAAACGCUUCACUGUCUGGGGGAGGGGGGGGGGCAGUGGACUGGUUUAUUUUACAUGAACACUUCACUGUCUUAUGUAUCCUGUGCUUUAGUAAAGGAACCUGACCUGAGGAGGAUAGCUAAUGCUAUGUUAUGCUGUCAAAAAAUGUCCAUAAAGGACUAUGUGUUUUUAUCUUCUAAUUUAUGUGUGAUGGAGGGAAGCAAGUUUCUGUCUAGAAUGAAAGGGGCCGCACAAGGAGCCAAGCAGCUGCUCAGUUGAGAUUGAGUAACGUCAAAGCUGCCAAUGAAUGAACAAAACUGUAAAGUUCUAAAUUGGAAUGUUAGGGGCCUCAAACACCAAGAAGUAACACUUUUAAUUGGGAAACCAUGAAUUUGCCGAGACAGGACUUAGCCACCUUGAAGCUGAAUUCACUGAUGAGGAAAUCAGACAAGGGAUCUGUCACGACCCUGGGGUAGUGAGCGUAGAGGGUAGCUAUGGGAGAUUGCCGGCCGCUGGGCUGCUGGCUUCUUGCCCGUGUUGCUUGAGAGAGGGUCACCUAAGCGACAAUGGCAGCAGGGAUGAGGACAGAAAGCAGGAUGAGAUAGCAGAUUGGUUUUUAAGCUUGCUUUAUUAAUUCUGUGUGCCUGCUAUAUAUAGGCCGAAUUACAAUUAGAGAUAGAGUCCUAUAAUGACUCAACUCCUAUAUCUAAACUAACUGCUCAACUAAUAUUAAUCCAAUCUGAUAGAGUCCUAUAAUAACUCAAAUUCCUAUAUCUCAACUGACUGUUUCCCUAAUAGCGGCCUGGAGUCUGCUAGCCUGCCGACUGCCUCUUCCUUCUCUGAUAUGUAAUUCCGACCAUAAUAGGAUCAUGGAUAUGCAACAAGAAUCUGCUCCUGGACCGGAUGGCUUCAUUGGAAAGUUCUUUUCAUCAUGCUGGGACAUUAUCAAGGAGGAUCUAUGUGCAGCCAUCCAAUACUUUUACAACCUGCAUGGCCAACACUUCAACCUUUUGAAUUCAGCCCAUAUUGUUCUUAUUGCCAAAACCUCAGAUGCAACUAGGAUCGGGGGACUAUAGACCCAUCAGUUUGACAAGCAGCAUAUCAAAGAUCAUCUCAAAACUUUUGGCAAACAGGUUGUCACUACACAUCAACCAACUGGUCUCCAUAAACCAGAGUGCCUUCAUUAGGAAGAGAAGUAUCCACUUUUUAUACACCCAGAAUACUAUUAGGCACUUGAACAGAUCACACCUUCCUGCAUUGUUCCUCAAAUUAGACAUCACAAAAGCCUUUGACUCGGUCAGAUGGGAUUACUUGCUAACGCAAAUUCUUCGCUAUUUUAUCCAGCAUCGGGUUAAUGAACUGUUUCUGAACUUUUCCUGAGCUUCAGGUUCUACCUUCUUAGUGUUCUCAAUUAUUCCACAUUUUUUCAUUAAGAGUUGAGUUGCUUGUUCCUGCAUACUGAGAUCUGACUUUGGUUUGGCUGCUAGUCACUCACUCUUUGGUUCUCUUUUCCACAUGUUGCAGGCUAAGACUCUAGAUGUGGCCAAGCCGGCAGCGAGAUUUACUGCAGAGGAUAUGAUAGUGUUUGGAAAACAAAAGUAAAUAAUCUUGGUGUUCUACAGUGGUGACAAAACUUGAGAUUUUGUUGGUCUCCCUCGUAUACUAUGAGUAGUAGUGUGGUCCAGUGACUUGUCAUCAAGUUCUUAGAACGUGAACCUUAUUCUACCUAGAAUGGCAUGGUUGCUUGCUUAUUUGGUAUUGUUGCUUGCUUUUCUGUUGAUGCUUGCUUUGUCUCUGCAUUGAGCUGUGUUUCUGUUGCUGAUUGCUGCUCCAAAAACACCAUGGCUUUAAUAAUAGGCCCGUGCUUCGGUUGUGAGCUUGCUUAUUUCGUAUACUCCCGUCCUCCGCAUAAAUUAGAAGAUAACAACACAUAGUCCUUUAUGGACAUUUUUUGACAGCAUAACAUAGUAUUAGCUAUCCUCCUCAGGUCAGGUUACUUUACUAAAGCAUAGGAUACAUAAGACAAAAUUGAACACAUCAAAAUUGACCAGAGACAACAAAAGUUAAACAAUACUCAAUCCAUAUAUUUUUUCUUUGUUUUUCGAAUUAUGCAUGUAUAUACGUGGCCAUGUAGAUGGAGUAUAGGAGCAGCACAACUUUCUAAUAGGAGCAGCAAAACUUUCUAUCCUAUUAUUGAGACCUUUUGUGCCAUGGUAUGACUAGGAGGGAGAGAAGCACCUCUAUUUAUAGUUCCUUAUGAUCAUUGUGGUAUUGACAUGUGGCAACUUGCAUACUCUUUCAUACAAAAUAUCCUAACUCUAAAACCCUCAUCAUCAUUAUUUAGUUUCUUAUAUUUCUAACAUGCUAAAAUAUCUAGUUCUAGAGUAUUCUACACUUCACCAUGAAGUAUGGCAACUAUGGCUCAUGCAUUCUCUCCAAUUUUCUAGAACCUUCCUACCUUGCCAUGAUCUUAUCCUUAUACAUGGCAAAGUUAGUCUUUCAAGAUUUCCCCAAUCUUCGAGAAUGUUCUAAGUAUGCAUUACAUACUUCAAUAAAUAAAAAUAAGAGCAUGCUUCACUUUGUUAGUUGGAAGCGCAUAAUGUAAAUCUGGUUCUACAUUUCAUGAUUCACAAGUUUAUUGCAUUGAAAACUUAACGGCACUUGGAAUUUUAUAUUUUUCAGUGUGAGUUAUUUAAUUACCAAAGGCUGCAAGAAGGUGUUCUUUGACUGUUUUAGGCUUUUGGCCCGCAAAUCAUUGUUGCAUGUACUUUUACCACAAUCAUCACCUUAUGGUACCACAUUUUUGGACCAUCACUAGUAGAGAACUCACCUUCCAUGCGCCUCCUUUUUCAAAUGGACCCAAAUUCCCAUUUCUAAUAAUUCAAGCCUAUGCACCUCAGUAAUAGUCCCAAGAAGGCUAUCACGUGCGAAUCCAUAUCUCAGAUAGUACAAAACCAUACAACACAAAGAAACAAGAAAAAUAGUGUACAUAAUUUAUUCAGAGUAACAUGUGUACGAGUACAUCAUUUCAGCUCAUGCCGGUACUAGCCCAUCAGGACUGAAUCAUGAAAGAGAAACACAUCUACGCAGUGAUAUCGGAAGCUAGGCGAACUCCAUCUUCAGGAGGCGACUUGAGCGUAGCACGUUUCUAGUCCUCCCAACCGUCGUUGUCAAAGUCGUUGUCGGGCUCCUCAGCUGAACAGCCACCAUCUACCUGAGAAGCGGGUAGGCCAUGUCAACUCCCAAAAGGAGCAAAAGCCAAGAAAACGGGGGAAAUAUUCUAUAUGCAUGGAUGAGCCUAUCUCUGGCUGUGGAAGGUAUGCAUGCAGCAGCAGCAGCAAUUCAAGGAAGCAAGCAUAGAUCCCGAGGUCAACGCCUCAAUAAGGAAGCCGGCACAAACACCAGCCCUUAUCCACAAGGGUCAUGUCCCAAGCACACCGGCGAUGUGAGAGCUCCCUCCCCUCACAUCUCAACGGCAAUUGCCGGCCAACACAUCUCCAAAAAGAGGGAAGGUAGAAGCAUGAGAAAAGUCUAAUCAGAAGUAGCGGUAGACAACAACAUUGUCCAUAACCAGUGGACACGGACUAUAGCUAUAGCUUUAAACACUCUAUAGAAGUUGUACACCUGUAUCCGCAUGGAUAGAGCCUGAACGGGGAUCAAUCAUUCAAACCCUAUCUAACAGCCGGAACCCUAGUAGGUGGAUAGCUCUCGGCCGCCUCCUCGAGUCUGGAACUGUCUUCAUCUACAGGGAACGCCAUCACCAGAGAAGACCUCGAGGAUGUGAAACCUAACCCUGCCAGGCUGCAGUCUUGUCAGAGCAGGUCAUCGCCUUGAACUCCUUACACGACCUCUUAUCCACCUGCAAGGAGGAGCGCUAUCCACCACUAGUCUCAGACCAAACCCCGCUCAUACGUGAGCGAUACGCUAUGUACGUAAAUAGAUAUUGUGUCUGGUGGUAAACUGAAUCAGUUCUUAAUUGGCUGAGAGCGAGCACUCUCCACAACCGGAACGUGUCGAAGUACCAACCAACCACCUCAAGCAAGGUACCCGCCACAGGUAUAGGGGAUGGGAGAGAAUCCAGAAUGAUCUCUCCCGGCAUGGCACUCCUCAGUACCUACACCGGCUCGUUCCCCCCAAAAUACAUCAAGGAGUAACACACCCAAAACACACACGAGAGUGGCUAAGGAAUACCAUCACCAAAAUCAUGGCAUAUGCCCAUCCAUAACUCACAAGCAUGCAUAUCGAUAAAAUAAAGGUGGACUAGCUAAGGGUGUGUAGCUAGCCCAGAACGGUAGGUGAAGGAAGGAAACAUGAUAUAACAAUUAUCAAGGUAUGGCUAAAAUAAUAGCUAUGCAAUCCAUUAAGCAAGCAAUAGUAAAGCGCUAGCAACUAAGCAUGCAUAGGAUCUAUAUGUUUGGGAGUGACAUGAUACCUUGUCCGAAGUCUUUCGCAUCCUCCUCGGUGAAGUCGGGGUUGUGCAAGUCGUUCUGGUCGAAGCUCGCGUCUGGCAGAGCGAAAUACAACGAAACAUAAAUUAAACGGCAUUACAUCUAGAAAAAAAUUUCAAGAAAGACAAUUUAGAAGAUCCAAAUAACUAGCUACAAACAACACGGGCUCAAUUUUACGAAUUUAAUGUAACUAGAUUCAUAUUUUUUCGAGUUUCAGUAAAUUAGUAAUGAUUUUUUAAAGUUUAAAUUGUUUAUUAAACAUUUAUUUAAAUUUAAAAGGGGAAAAACCGGGGAUGGACACGUGGCAGAGUGUGGUUGGUCCACGUGUGCUGAUGUCAGCGUUGACUAGAUCAACGGUGGGCCCUCCCCAUCAAUGAUGGACCCCACGGCACCAUGUGCGGGUCCCAUAGGUGGGGCCCACCUGCCACGUGGCACUGAUGUGAUAGCCACGUGGCAGCACGGCCGUGGCGGCGAUAGCUUGGGCCAGGCCGGCGCAUGCGUGCGGCCAGUUGGUCUGGUUGGGGGUGCAUGCUGGGGUGGCUUGUGGACGAGGUGACCUAGCAGGCCGGCAAGAGAAAACGAUGGGGAGGAAACGAGCUGGGCUGGCUGAGACACGGGCCGACUGCUAGUUUGUGUGCGUGCGAGGAGAAAACAAGGAGCAAAAGAAGAGGAAGUCAUGUUAGAUUUUUAUUAUGCUAUUUAUAUACUACCUUUAAUUUAUAUUUUUUGAUCUAAUCCGAAAAUGCAAACUCACCUUUGAGAACCAAAUUAAAUCAAAUAAAAUCCAAAUCACUCGUGCAUACAUAUUUAAAUUUAAAUGCAUAAUUUAAUUACUAGCUUUUGAAUUUAGAGGAAGGAAUCGAGGCUUGACUUUAAAUUUGACCAAGUAUUUAUAUGCUUCACACAAUCAAAAAAAAUUAAUUUUUUGUAAAAACUGGCACAAUUAAUAUCGCUCAAUUUUGAGGGAUAUUACACUUUUAUCCCGAUUUAAAGUUGAUCCAUGAAUAAAGGGACUUUAGUCCCGGCACAACCCUCCUCCAUGUCUCCAUACACACGGGUGGACUUUCUGAAUGAUUGGCCGAGAAAGAGUGCCUCACCCUCAGGUAGCACAUCACGACCCGUGACUGAAACCCAUCUGUCGGCAUCGAUGUCCACCUUGAAGAUCUCGACCUUGCGAGUGUACUCGAGGUCAAAUGGAGGUGGUUCAUUGACAGCAUCUGCAAAUACCUGGAGGGAUAAUGAGAAUAGCUUCAUGUGGUGUUGUAAUCCUAGAGAGGUCGACGUGGAAGCUGUUGGCUCCGGGCGGCCACCCACCGUUGUCGGGCGCCCGCAACGAGUACUGCCUUCGGAGCUCCUGGAUCUUCAGUUGGAUCCGCUUCCACACAAACUCGACCUCCGUGAUGGGCGCCCCCGCCACGACGGGUGGCAGCGGGGGCGCGGGGCCCGCAAGCGCUAACACCGACAUGAGGAGGUGCUUAAGCUCGCGGUCGGCGGCUAGGACAAGUAGCGAGAACGCGGGGCCUGAUGGCAAGGAGGAGGAGAAGCUCCCGGUGCGUGGCCAUGGCGAGCGGCGGGCGACCAGGGGCUGUGGAUGGAGGCGGAGGGAUUGCGCGAGUGUGUGCGGGAGAAAAAUAGAAUGGGAUGAAACGAACCGGUAUGUUCGUAACCAGUGGCAGGUGAGUAAUUUUUUACCCCAAAAGCACUUGAAAGCAAGGGGAAGAUGCUUUUAGUUUUGUACUAGAGCAAAAGCAACUUUUGAGCAAAAUUACAUGUGAUUUUUAUAUCCUUUGGUUAGCUUUUUACUUUUGCAAAACCAAAAGAAGGUUGAAAAGCUCAACCAAAAGCACCCUAAUAAACUUGUCGACGCGGACUUAACCGUGAAACUGUUGUGCAAGGCCUGGCUGUUGUGCGUUUGCCUCCCUCCGCCGCCGCCCCACCCGCACCGGAGCGUCAUCACCCCCGAGCACGUGCGCCAGUGCGUCGUUCGCUGCCGCAGCUCUCCCCAUUGCUCUCCCACGCUUCCGUCGCCGCCGCUCGCUGCGAGGUGGCUUGAGGGAGGGGAUGAAAGAGAGAUGGCCUGCGGGCUGGAGUAAAAGGAAGAGAGGCGAGCUGGGCUGGCGAGCAGGCUGCGGGGGACAAAGGCGAGACGGCCUGCGGGCUGGCUGGGGUGCUGGGAGGGCCGCGAUGCUGGGCCAGAGGAAAGGGGUGGCCCGCUGCAGCUGAUGGCUUGGGCCGAUUGCUGCGGCGGGCUGGGCCGGAAGGCCGGCCUGGCUGAAGAGGCACGGCGAGAAGCGAAUUUUUUUUAUUUUUAUAUUAUUUUUUAAUAAAUUUUCAUAAAUAUAUAAUCAAAUAAAAAAUUUGCAAAAUAGGCUUGUGCCGCCGAUUGAAUAGAGAGGGUUUGUUUAUGCCUGUGCUGCUGUGCCUAAGGCACGAGGUAUCUUGCCCAGGGGAGUCUCAGACCUUGCUGCUGGGCCGAAUAUCUUGCACUAGAUAUUAUAGAUGCACACUCGGGCAACUCGGCCCGAUCCAGCACGGCCUGGCAUGGCCCGUUAUUUUUUGUGCCGGGCCUAGCCCAUCAUGAGGACUCCGUCGUGCCGAGUCGGGCCGGCCCACGAGCCUCACCGGCGGCCCAAGCACGGGUUCGUAAAGUUUUUUUGUGUCGGGCCGGCCCGAAGAGCCUGGCCUGCUUCGGGCCACGGAAGGCACGGCGGGCCACCGCCGCUAGUCCGCUACCGUCCCCUCGUGCCGCCACCGGCCUCCCACGCCGUCGCUGCCGUCCCCCCGCGGCUAGCACCGCCGCCGGCCUCCCACGUCGUCGUUGUCGUCCCCCCGCGCAGCUACUUCCCGGCCGACCCAUGCGCUGUCGCGGUCGCUCCCCGCCCCUCCCCCUCGCUGCUGUCCCUUCGCGCCACUGCUCCCCGGCUGGUCCCCACGCUGUCGCCGCCGCUCCCCAACCCCCCGCGUCGCCGUCCCCUCGCACGGCUGUCGCUGUCGUCCCCUCGCGCCGCCACUCUCCAGCCCCUGCGCUGCCGCUCGCCGAUGGGGAAGAUGCGAGAGAUGGGUGGAGGAUUGGAGCCUGGACCGGAGGUUGGAGAUUCGGUGGCCUGGACUGGAGGUUGGAGAUUCAGAUUCGAUUGGAGAUAGGAGAGGUCGAGAGGAAGGGGUGAUGCCGUGACGGGUGGAAGAUUGGAGUUCAACGGUACAUAGUAUUUUUUGUUGUAUUAGGUUAACGGGCCAUUUCGGGCCGGAAUGCAAAAAUUGUGCCGGACCAUGCCGCCCGUCGUGCCGAGGCGACGACCCACGCCCGGCACGAGUCAUCGGGUCGGGCUUGAAAUGGGCCAAAAAACGGGCUUCGUGUUGGACUGCGGGCUGCAUAGUCAUCUAUACUAGAUAUCUUGCUGUUGGGCCGAAUAUGUUCAGCGUGCGUAAAGUUUUCUCAAAUUCAUGCUGACUUCAGAAUCUGUCACGAAUAAUCAAAGCCAUUAAGUAACCGGAUUCAUCCAAUGUGAUCCCUCCAUGAGACUUGCAAGAUUAACUCUGCUUAACAUUUUAGGCUAUUUGGUUAGCUUUUUGAUUUUUGCAAAAGUAAAAGCAGGUUGAAAAGCUUAACCAAUCAAAGACACCCUAAUAAACUUGCGGACGCAGACUUAACUGUAAAACUGUUGUGCAAGGUCUCGGAGCAAGUGCACCGCGGAAUUCAAAGUAUUUCUUGUGACCAACUCGCACAGGUCAAGAGCAUAGUUCGUGGCUAUUCCAAGAAAUCAUACAAAGAUAAAACGUUUUCUUCGCUACUGUCAUCAUCAAAAUGAGGUGAUAUGAUUUAGUAGCUCAUAUAAGAUGUAGGCAUGUAGCGUCUAAACGACUUUAAUAGUUUGGCAUGCACCCACCCAUCAACUUUCAGUGCUCUCUUUUGUAAGAAUUAAUUCAUUGUUUCUUGUUGGCUAAAAUGGUGAUCAUGAACAUAUUCUCAAGAGUUUCGUUGUCCGUUUAAGAUAUUUGGAGGGUACAGAAAGCACCAUCAACAAGAAACGGAUUUGUAAAAAACAGAGGGAAGGCUCAAGCUCCCCCCUAGACGGAUGCAUUAAACAAACUAUUAUUGCUAGCUAGUUCUAGUGUUGCUUGUGCGUCAAACCACGAGCUUUGGAGGGAAAAGCCAUGUCAACAACUUAUCAUCAGCCCGUUUGCUCUGCCAUGGAAGCCUAAACGGCCUGCAAGACGAGGAUUUGGUGUCAAACACUUGGUCCAUAUCCACAAAAUAUAUGCAACCCUCCUCCAUGUCUGCGUACACACAGGUGGACUUGCUGAAUGAUCGACUGAGAAAGAGUGUCUCGCCUUCAGGUAGCGCAUCACGACCAGUGACUGAAACCCAUCUACCAGCAUCGAUGUCCGCCUUCUUGAAGAUCUCGACCUUGCGAGUGUAACAGGGGUCAAAUGGAGGUGAUUGCACCUGUCGCCUCACCAUGAGCAACUCUUGGUCGCCGCAUGACUCGACAAGGAACCUACUGGUCGUGAUACAGUCCUUGGGUUCAUAUGGCACCUCCUCGUCCUCCACAGUCUCGUCAUCACUUGGAACCAGUUGGCCAUCAUCAGGAUUGAAGCUAUCAGCUGCCUCAUCACCGGUAUCGUAGUCGUCAUCCAUCCAGCUCCACGGGUCUUCUUCACCAUCGGCUAACGGAUGCCUGAUGACUCGCUUAAAUUUGGGAAUAAUUGGACUCCCGUUGUGGUCGUCGUCGGCAACGUCGAAGGCAACUAGGUCCUCAUGCCGUGUGAUCCCGUAGAGUUUAUCCUUGAAGAAAGCAACAUCAAAGACGCCUAGGUAGGGAAGCACCAGGAUGACGGUGCAGUUGUCGUUGUUGGUGGUGACGGCGACGAGGUCAUCAGGACUAGCGGAGCGCAUGAGCACCUUGCGGAUGUCUCCGAACCCGGCUUCUCACCGACGAUGUCUCCGAGUACCUCCGUUUCCGAUCCGCGUGCAAGCCCUGGCGCAACCCGUGCACCGGCGACCCCAGCUUGUCCGGCGGCGGGCUUGACCUCCGUUUCCGAUCCGCCCUGGCGCAACCCGUGCACCGACGACCCCAGCUUGUCCGCCCCCGAUCGACACUGGAUCGCGGCGUGAAUAAAAGGGCUUUAGUCCCGACGCAACCCUCCAUGUCUCCGUACACACGAGUGGACUUGUUGAAUGAUCGGCUCAGAAAGAGUGCCUCGCCUUCAGGUAGUGUAUCACGAUCCGUGACUGAAACCCAUCUGCCAGCAUCGAUGUCCACCUUGAAGAUCUCGACCUUGCAAGUGUACUUGGGGUCAAAUGGAGAUGAUUCAUCAGCAGCAUCUGCAAUUACCUUGAGGGACACUGAGAAUAGCUUCCUGUGGUACCGUAAUCCUAGAGAGUUGUGGUGCUGUAAUCCCAGAGAGGUCGACGCGGAGGCUACUGGCGCCGAGCGGCCACCCCCCGCUGUCGGGUGCCCACAACGAGUACUGCCUCCGGAGCUCCUGGAUCUUCGGCUGGAUCCGCUUCCACACGAACUCAACCUCCACGAUGGGCGCCCCCACCGCGACGGACGAUAGUGGGGGUAUGGGGCCCGCAAGCGCUGACACCGACGUGAGGAGGUGCUCAAGCUCACAGUCGGCGGCCAUGGCGAGCAGCGGGAACGCGGGGCUUGACGGCGAGGAGGAGGAGGAGGAGAAGCUCCUGGUGCGCGGCCAUGGCGAGCGGCGGGUGUCCGGGGGCGGUGGAUGGAGGUGGAGGAAUUGCGCGAGUGUGUGCGGGAGAAAAAAUAAAACGGGAUGAAACGAACCGGUAUGUCCGUAAUUUAUGGUAGGUGGGUAAUUUUUUACCCUAAAAUCACUUGAAAACAGGGGAAGGUGCUUUUUAUUUUGUACUGGAGCAAAAGUAACUUUUGGGCAAAAGCACAUGUGGCUUUUAGGUUAGCUUUCGACUUUUGCAAAAGUAAAACCAGGUUGAAAAACUCAAUCAAAUGUACCCUAAUAAACUUGCGGACGCAGACUUAACUAUAAAACUGUUGUGCAAGGUCUGGAAGCAAGUACACCGCGGAAUUCAAAGUAUUUCUUCUGACCAACUCGCACAGGUCAAGAGCAUAGUUCGUGGCUAUUCCAAGAAAUCGUACGAAGAUAAAACCUUUUCUUCGCUACUGUCAUCAUCAGAAUGAGGUGACAUGAUUUAGUAGCUCAUAUAAGAUGUAGGCAUGUAGCGUCUAAACGACUUUAAUAGUUCGGCAUGCACCCACCCAUCAACUUUCAGUGCUCUCUUUUGUAAGGAUUAAUUCAUUGUUUAUUGUUGGCUAAAAUGAUGACCAUGAACAUAUUCUCAAGAGUUUCUGUGCCCGUUUAAGACAUUUGAAGGUUAAAGAAAGCACCAUCAACAAGAAACAGAUUUGUAAACACAGAGGGAAGGGUCAAUCUCCCCCUAUACGGAUGCAUUGAACAAACUAUUAUUGAUGCUUUGUUGUUGCCUUCUAACUAGUUCUAGUGCUGCUUGUGCGUCAAACCACGAAUUUUGGAGGGAAAAGCCAUGUCAACCACUUAUCAUCAGCCCGUAUUCUCUGCCAUGGAAGGCUAAACGGCCUGCAAGACGAGGAUCUGGUGUCGAAUACUUGGUCCACAUCCACAAAAUAUAUGCAACCCUCCUUCAUGUCUCCAUACACACGGGUGGACUUGCUGAAUGAUCGGCUGAGAAAGAGUGCCUCGCCUUCAGGUAGUGCAUCACGACCCGUGACUGAAACCCAUCUGCCGGCAUCGAUGUCCGCCUUGAAGAGCUCGACCUUGCGAGUGUAAUCGGGGUCAAAUGGAGGUGAUUGCACCUGCCGCCUCACCAUGAGCAACUCUUGGCCGCCGCAUGACUCGACAAGGAACCUACUGGUCCUGAUGUAGUCUUUGGGUUCAUAUGGCACCUCCUCGUCCACCCCAACCUCGUGAUCGCUUGGAACCAGCUGGCCAUCAUCAGGAUUGAAGCUAUCAUCGCCACAACCAUCAUCGGUAUCGUUGUCGUCAUCCAUCCAGCUCCACGGGUCUUCUUCACCAUCAGCUAACGGGUGCCUGAUGACUCGCUUAAAUUUGGGAAUAAUUGGACUCCCGUCGUCGUCGGCGGCAAGGUCGAAGGCGACUAGGUCCUCAUGUCGUGUGAUCCCGUAGAGUUUAUCUUUGAAGAAAGCAACAUCGAAGACGCCUAGGUAGGGAAGCACCCACCUCCCCUUGCCGGGGCGGCACAGGAUGAUGGUGCAGUUGUCGUUGUUGGUGGUGACGGCGACAACGUCAUUAGGACUAGCGGAGCGCAUGAGCACCUUGCGGAUCUCGAACGUCUCGUUGACAUGGCCGGCGAUGGAGUCGAGCUCGGGGAGCGACACGGUCUUUUCGUAGAAGGGGUUGUGCAGCAGGUAAUUGUGCUCGUGCUUGACGUCGCUCCUGGGCUCGAGGCAUUUGCCGUCGCGGUACGCGUCCAAGAUGUUGGUGCGCCGGAACACAUCGUCGGUGCAGUCGAGAGCGAGCCAGCUGUCGGUGGCGCCGAGGCAGGUCACGUUGCGAGGCAGGCGGGGAAUCCGGUUGAAGAAGACGCCGGUGUCGCCGAUGGUGCAGAAGGAGCCAUUGGGGAUCACGAUCCACGGCAUCGCCUCCUGCUCUUGGUCCUGCAGCUCGCACGCGACGGCGGAGUGCCAUGCGCGGCAAACGGCCCGUAAGCGGGCGACGUCGGCGUCGCAGAGGCAGGCGACGAUCUCGCCGAGGACUUCCGGCAGGAGAUCGGCCCACGCUGGAGGCGACGGCGAUGCCAUCGUCGAGCUUCUUCUUACAAUAUGUGGAUUUGAGCAAGGGAUGUUUGAUAUGCAAUGCAAUGGCAUCGUUGGAUAUAUAUAACGGCGGUGCGGACCAGAAAUAAUGAGUUAUCCCUCUUGGGAUUCGGAUUGGAAUUCACGAUCUUUAGCUUGGAUUCGUCUCGUAACCCGGCUUCUCACCGUCGAUGCCUCCGAGUACCUCCGUUUCCGAUCCGCGUGCAAGCCCUGGCGCAACCCGUGCACCGGCGACCCCAGCUUGUCCGGCGGCGGGCUUGACCUCCGUUUCCGAUCCGCCCUGGCGCAACCCGUGCACCGACGACCCCAGCUUGUCCGCCCCCGAUCGACACUGGAUCGCGGCCUCCCACUGCGCAUCCCCGUCGCGCCGCCGCCUCAUCAACAUCUGCACCGGUGCACGCGCCGAGGUCGACCGCCCGGAGCUCCUCACCCACCACCGCUUCGGCGUCUUCGAUGGUCUCCUCGUCCUCUGCGACAGGGCCACCAGCGCCGCCGUCCGCGUCCUCAACCCUCUCACCGGCGCCCUCACAAUCACCGACGUGCCGCGGUCUUCAAGGCCUUCUUCUAUACUAGCUCGAUCGGAACCACUCACGGAAGAGGAGAUGCGCCAUUGACACACUCCCAAGAUAGACGUCCCCGACCCCUCAGCAAUCAAUGACACCGCCAGCAGAAUUAUUCACGAUACAGGAUGGUGUUAGCUCCCGCAUGGAUGGUGCUUGCUGAUCAUCUAAUCCUGACACCGAACGGCGGUGAUAGUACUUCUUUGCUUCACUCAUGCAGGCUACUGGUCUCUCUCUCUCUCUCUCUCUCUCUCUAGACUUUCAGAACAGUGGUAACUUUUUACUGUUAUUUUCAAACUGUCAGUUAGAGAGAAGCUAACAAUGCUGUCCAUUUUGGCAGCCGGUCAACAAAAUCCCUUUGCUUCUUGUAUGUACACUUCAAGUUCUACUUAUCCCAAUGCAAGACGAUGAUGCCGCUCUUCCCACCAUUCAAAGGAAAAACUAGGCAGGCACUAGUGCUCCAGGAAGCUGCUCAUGCUCUCCUCUCCCCACACGCCCAGCAUUCAAAGGAAAAACUAGGCAGGUACUAGUGCUGCUCCAUCAGUUGCUGAAUGUUGAAAUGCUAAGUAUCAUACAGACACACACUGGCAAAUGUCAUACGGACAUACUGAAUUAUAGUUAACUGUGCGUUAGUCAUACAAGGAAAUAUUUGAUUAGCAAGGUAGCAAGUAACAUCGGCAUCUAGCAGAACAAAUUAAUUAGAGUUUCAUUCACAUCCCUCAGUUCCAAAAUUGCUCACAUCCCUCAAUUCCAAAAUCACAGCAAGAGAGUUCUUAAAAUUUACUAGUAUAUCCAUUCAUGUCGGUAUUUCUAAGUUACUGACAAAUCAAUCUACCUUCAAUUCAUUUAUAUGUUUGUUCUUCAUGUUCCUACAUGAAGUACAAACUUAUGAUUAUCUCCCGUUUUCUUCCAAAACUAGUACCACCAGUAUCCACCCCAAAUUGUCAAUCACCUAAGCACUAUGUGCGAGUAAAACUAAAGAUUCAAAGGUGAGGAAAGUACAAAGGAGAUCCAGGACAGGAUACGCAGAGCAGAGGAAAUCGGACCUGGAAUUGCUCCAUCAGACAUGUUACAGAGAAGCUAAAAGAUUUCAGUAUUAGCACUAGUGCCACAUCAGUUUCGCGAUGUUGAAAUGACAAAUAUCAUUAUAGAGUUACAGAAUACAGACACACUUAGUACCAUUUGCAAUGGUUGACAGGUAGGCCAAUCAGGCAUUCAGAGCAGGGCAUACUUAUUAGCAAGGUAUUAAUUACCAUUCUCAUCCCUUAUUGCCAAUCACAAUGAAACAUCUAUUGUCAAUUAUAAGUUUCUACAUUCAGCAUAAGCUAACUCUGUUUCAGAAUUCGGAUAUGUUCAUUGUUCCUGUUGUGUGAUUUAAAUGCAGCAUGUCCUAAAGAUAUCAGACCUGGAAUUGCUCCAUCAGAAUGUUAGAUAGCUAGCUAAGAUUGUUUGGAGGACCACAACCGCAAAGUUUCUGAUCCAGUAUUAUAUUAGCACUAGUGCUACAUCAGUUGCACAAUGUUGAAAUGGCAAGCAUCAGAGUUACAGAAUACAAACACACUUAGUACCAUUCGCAAUGAUUGAAUUAUAGGGAAAUCAGGCAUUCAGAGCAGUACAUAGUGAGAUUAGUAAGGUAGUACCAUUCCCAUCCCUUAUUGCCGAUCAUAAUGAAACAUCUAUUGUCCUCGCACGCACACCAACUAGGAAUUUUUUUAUUUUUUUAUUUUUUAUUUUAGCAUUUUGCAAAAAUAUAUAGUCGGAUGAAAAAAUUGCAAAACUAGGCUAUUGUCGCCGGCUGGGCCGGCGGUAAGGUGCUUCCGCCGGUCCAGGCGGCGGUAAGGAGCGAUUGGGCCGGCGGAAGGCCUUACCGCUAGUCCAGCCAGCGGUAACGGGUACACUCCUCCGCACCACACUUUUAAAAAAUCAUAACUAAUUCAUAUCAAUUCGGAUGGAGAUAAACUUUAUAUAAAAUUUGUAGAUCUCGACGAGAUCUACAACUUUGUAGUUAAAUUUUUUUCAUUUGAUGUCAUAUUGGUGCUCAAAUAAUUAACACAAGUUUCAAAUCUAGAUCUGAAACUUGUGUCGAUUAUUUCAGCAACUAAAUGGCUCCAAAUGAAAACAAUUUGAACUACAAAGUUGUAAAUCUCGUCGAGUGCUACAAUUUUCAUAUAAACUUAUUUCUAUCUGAGCUUGUAUGAAUUAUUUAUCAUUUUUGAAAGUGUGCUGACCAAUUUCAGAUCUACCGAAACUUGUGUCGAUGUUUGCUAGAUUUUUCCAAUAGAGUGCCCACGUUAGUAAAAAGAUUUUUCACCGUUAGAUCCUACCUUUGCCGCUCUGUUCUAUCCCAAUGAUGAUUUUAGCGUUGGAUAGAAGUAUUGCGAGUCUUGUGGUGGCUAUUCGGCAAAGUAAAAUAUCUGGAUUUUAUAGUACCUAGCUAGUGUUGGCUAGAAACAUCGCGAGUCUUGUGGGGGUUAUUCGGCAAAGUAAAAUAUCUGGUCAUCUCCUCAUCUUUUCCCUGUAAUAAAAGGUGGGAAGCUUGCCAUCAAUGUAUUGUACAGUCCUUCCCAAAAUACCUUUUUAUCAAACUACUGUACAUUAGAUAGAAUAUAUUAAAACAAUAGAAUAGAUUAAAAAAUGAAGAAAAUAUCCCUAAGAGAUUUGGAGGUUCUUCAUCAGAUGAAAUAGAUUAAAAUAAUGAAGAAAAUGUCCUAGGGGAUUUGGAGGCUCUUCUUAUGAACAAAUCAUGUUCCAGUCCAAUUUUGUGAUUUGCUACACACCAAAAAAAAUACACAAACAUCUAACCUAUAUAAAAAAUUACAAAAACAUCAUAAAUCAACAUGUGCAAGGAUGAUUUAUUAUAUCUUAUAACUACCCAAUGCAACAUGCCAAAUAAAUUGGAUGACAAAUAUCUAUCAGCAUCUUUACUUCCUUCCUUUGUUCACAAGAGAUGGGUACUGGGUUUGGGCGCCGGAGUCAGCUGCCAGCAUCAGGGAUAUUGGACCUAAUAGAUCAAAAAAUAACAAUUCCACACAACAUCAAAAUAAUUUGCUAAAGCGGGUUGCUGACGCCGCUUCUUUCUCCUGACGCUCCCUUGCCUCACGCUCCCUCGCUUCCCUAGCUUUCUUCUCUGCCAUCCGGUGCCCCUCCUCGUGAUCGCGGGUGAACUUGACUUUGUACAUGCCUUCCUUGAGACGGCAAGGGCGGCACCCCCACUACUCCAUCCGAUUCAACAUCUCGCCGCCGAGCGCCCCCACCCCCACCGGGGCAUCCGCGCGCGCGUUGGCUUCUCUCCGCGCGCGCGCCUGCCGCCACCGCCCCACCGGACUGUCAUCACCGUUGCCGCCCUCGAGCUCGAGCGCGUCGUUCGCGGCGGCUCCCCCCAUUGGUCGGUCCCGCCGAGCGCCGCCUCCCUUCGUCGCGUGCGUCACCGCCGCCGCCGCCGCCCGCUGCGUUGCUUGAGGAAGGAGUUGAAAGAGGAGCCUGCUGAUGGCUUGGGCCGAAUUUUCGGGUGGUAUAGAGAGGCUUUGUUUUCUCGAGGGAGGUUGUUUUAUCAGUAUACUCCUGUAGAUAACUCCUGUUAGGAAAAAGCCCAUGGGCCAGCAAUGAAUUGGGCUUCCAAAUCACUGCGGCCUGCUAACAACGAAUGAAUGCGAGCGACUUCCACUUGCACAGUGUGUAAGAUCUCCACUGUUUCCGCUCCACUCCGAUUCAGCCCCCAAAAUGGCUGAGAGAUCGCCGGCUGCCGCUCGCCACCGCUGCUGCUGGGGGCGCACCGUUGCUCUUCGACGGAGGAGACGCUCGGGUAUCUCUUGCCGGACGGAGGAACGAGGAGUGCUCCGCUUGCUUUCCGACUUCAAGCCCGAGGUUUUGCUUCGACACGGGCAGGAGGAUGAAGAGGCACCAAGGGAAGGGAAGGGACGCCCGGAGUGAGGCGGAACUCCGGCGAGGCGACGCGGAGGUGCGGAGGACCGGGUCGCCGAUCGGUAAUUUUGCAAAUGACCCUCGCGAUCCGAUUUUUUGUAAAAUACCUCUAUUAUUUUCAUUAAACCUCAGCCAUUAUUGAUCGUGAUCCGAUUAUUUGCAAAUGUCAUACGGACACACACUGGCAAAUGUCAUACGGACAUACGGAAUUAUAGUUAACUAUGCGUUAGUCAUACAAGGAAGUAUUUGAUUAGCAAGGUAGCAAGUAACAUCGGCAUCUAGCAGAACAAAUUAAUUAGAGAGUUUCAUUCACAUCCCUCAGUUCCAAAAGUGCUCACAUCCCUCAAUUCCAAAAUCACAGCAAGAGAGUUCUUAAAAUUUACUAGUAUAUCCAUUCAUGUCGGUAUUUCUAAGUUACUGACAAAUCAAUCUACCUUCAAUUCAUUUAUAUGUUCGUUCUUCAUGUUCCUACAUGAAGUGCAAACUUAUGAUUAUCUCCCGUUUUCUUCCAAAACUAGUACCGCCAGUAUCCACCCCAAAUUGUCAAUCACCUAAGCACUAUGUGCGAGUAAAACUAAAGAUUCAAAGGUGAGGAAAGUACAAAGGAGAUCCAGGACAGGACGGACCUGGAAUUGCUCCAUCGGACAUGUUACAGAGAAGCUAAAAGAUUUCAGUAUUAGCACUAGUGCCACAUCAGUUUCGCGAUGUUGAAAUGACAAAUAUCAUUAUAGAGUUACAGAACACAGACACACUUAGUACCAUUUGCAAUGGUUGACAGGUAGGCCAAUCAGGCAUUCAGAGCAGGGCAUACUUAUUAGCAAGGUAUUAAUUACCAUUCUCAUCCCUUAUUGCCAAUCAAAAUGAAACAUCUAUUGUCAAUUAUAAGUUUCUACAUUCAGCAUAAGCUAACUCUGUUUCAGAAUUCGGAUAUGUUCAUUGUUCCUGUUGUGUGAUUUAAAUGCAGCAUGUCCUAAAGAUAUCAGACCUGGAAUUGCUCCAUCAGAAUGUUAGACAGCUAGCUAAGAUUGUUUGGAGGACCACAACCGCAAAGUUUCUGAUCCAGUAUUAUAUUAGCACUAGUGCUACAUCAGUUGCACAAUGUUGAAAUGGCAAGCAUCAGAGUUACAGAAUACAAACACACUUAGUACCAUUCGCAAUGAUUGAAUUAUAGGGAAAUCAGGCAUUCAGAGCAGUACAUAGUGAGAUUAGUAAGGUAGUACCAUUCCCAUCCCUUAUUGCCGAUCAUAAUGAAACAUCUAUUGUCGAUUAUAAGUUUGUACAUGCAGUAUAUCCAAUUAACCUAACUCCGUUUCAGAAUUCAGAUAUGUUCAUUCUUCCUUUCGCAUGAUUUAAAAGCAGCAGGCACAGCACAUGAUUAUUCUUUCUUCUCCCCCAACCAACCAAACCAAUAUACCACCAAUCCAUUCCAAUUCCCUAAUAAGUAGCACUAUGUUCAUCACAUGUUUGGCGUGUACAGUUACAGAUUACAACAAGCAAGCUGCUGACUGCUGAGGAGGAGAGUACAGAGGAUUUGCAACAAUGAUCCAGCCAGCCAGAGAGGAUGGAUUUGCAGCAGGGGAGGAUGUCAGACCUGGAAUUGCUCCAUCUGGACGUCGGACGCCUUGAGCGGGACGUAGUCUCCGAGGUACACCUCGAGGUGGUCGGAGAUGCCUGCCUUGUCGAUGCUCUCGUGGUGGUAGCUCUUGCAGACGAGGUAGACGAGGGUCUGGGCGACGAGCGCGAGCAUGACGACGCAGGAGAGCGCGGCGAGCGCGAGGAGGCCGACGAGGAGCCUCGCGAGGGCCGGUGAGGACCCGCCGGCCUUGACGACCCAGGCGCGGAAGGCGAGCUCGACGACUGCGAAGACGAGGUUGAGCGUGACGAAGAUGGCCGCGGCGGUGGGCAGCUUCCCCCUGAUGAGGUCCCUGCUCUUGCGCAUGGCUGCGAAGCCCUUGUAGUCCUCGAGCACGGAGACGACGCUGGCGAGGUGCCACACGACGCUGAUGUAGACGAGUCCCACGAGGUAGGCGACGACGAGGAGGAACGCGAGCAGCCCCGCGAGCCCCGACCCGUUAUCCGCGGCGACUAGGAGCCCGAGGAAGACGACGACGAACACCGCGUGGUACGCGAAGAGGAGCGCGAAGGCCGCGAGGAACGUGGCCGCGAGCCUCCUCCACACCCGGGGCACGACGGAGAGCACCCGCGGGAAGGUGAGCGCGUCGUGCUUGGCGGAGUAGACGGAGGCGACGGAGAAGACGGCGGCGGCGGUGGCGAGGAGGGAGAGGAGGAGGAGGGCGAGGAGGUAGGCGGCCUUGAAGAGGAGGAGGGCGAGCCAGUCGGAGGCGAGGCGGGAGAGGAGGCGGCGCUGGGCGUCGGUGCCCGGGGCGGAGGAGUCGAGGGCGGUGUCGUCGGUGUCGAUGUGGGUGAAGAGCGCGUGGGAGAUGGCGACGUGGAGGAGGAAGAGGGCGGCGAGCGGGAGGACGAAGGCGGCGGCGACGCGGGCGAAGAGGGGCCGGUGCGGGCCGCGGAGGAUCGAUGCGGAGGCGGCGUAGAUGCCCGCCGCCCCCAGGAACUGCAGCUCCUCCGGCUCGCACUCCAUGGCCUCGAUCUGCGGGGGGUGGGAUUGCUUGGGGUGGGUGGGGAAGGGAGGGAGGGAUUGGGGAAUUUCCUUCUGGCCGGUGGGAAGGGGAAUGGGGAUGGAAGGCUCUGGAGGAAGGAGGAAGCGAGGCGGAGAUAGAAGCAGAGGAGGAAGGCGGCUUGCUUCUUCCCGUUGGUUGGUUUCGGAGGCGGGGUUGAUUGGGUCAAGCAAGCCCGUCAACCGAAGAAGCGAGGUGGCGACUGGUCAGCGUUGACGCGCUUACUACCAGGAGCGGAUGGAUCGUAUUGUUGUCUGAUUAAUUAGCUUGGAACUGAGAAAAUAUGCGUGUGUUUUUUAUAUUAAUCCGGGAAAUGGUUUUCUCUCGUUCACCGUGCGUUUAGGUUGUUUUAAUUGUUUUCUAAAUUUAUAAAUAUUAUUGUGUAUCUAGAUAUACAUUAAAUUAAAAAAAAUAAAAUGAUCUGCAAUUUAGAACGAGAAGGGCAGUAGAUGGUAUUAUUGCCUUUGCUACUUGCCACGACCAGCCGUACCCAAGUUACGCCAACACUAGUGCGACAGGAUAAUGCAUGCAACUUGCCACGACUACUGGGCUUGCACCACCGUGCUAUAUAUAGUGCAUCAAUGUAGGUGGCAACAACAAAGUUUGGUGGGAUUCUUUCCUCUUGUUCGACCUGUCCAAUCAUCGAGUUUUGAGAGGUAGGCUUCGGAAUUAAUUGAUACUUAGACCCUAUUUAAUUGAUACUUUUGGACUUUCUGUUUUUUUGGAUGUUCAAAAGACAAUAGUCCUCCAAAGUCAUAAGCUAUAAAAAGAAUACGUCACAUGUUGAUUCUGGCUUUUAGCUUUUGGAAUCAUUUUGACUUUUUCAACGUUCUAAAAAACUCAUAGUUCAAAAGUUUCUAGAAAUCCCCCUCAGAAAAAAAAGGUUCCUAGAAACAACAUGGCCUUAGAUGGUUGGAAUAGUACGUAGUAGACGCGUCACCGUUAAUUUUGGCAGAAUUAGCCAUUCGCAUAACAAAAAAAAAAAGGUAUGUUUUGUACACAUGCGCGUUACGCGUACGACUUUGUGCCACGAUAACACCAAAAAUGUCAUUAACUGAUUGACUGGAGAACAAUCACCAUCGUUCGGCAGUCCCUCUCAAUAACUAAUUGCGGUUGCUUAACACUAGCUAGCUAGUCCACCUGCACGUGCACACACAGUUGACACACAAAGAAAUUCAGGAAGAUAUUGCCAUGAGACAUCGAGAUAAACUCCUUAUCGAACUUUAUGUGACCUUAAACUUUUCUCCUUAAAUGAAUUACCCGUGCUCCUGCUUCGUAAAAAAAAAAAGUUGACACACAAAGGAACGCAAACCACGACAUGUACGUCGUGCCAUGCAUAAUCCUACCAUACGCCGUGUUUUUCUUUCUACAUCCUCCCUCAUCUUCCCUUCUCUUCUCUUGACCGGCAAAAAGAUAAGACUUGUGGAAUUCUAUGGCGUUUUAUGUUACGUACAAGGUGACGUAGUUUCCGCUGACUGUCCUUUCCCGCUGACGAUUAUUAUUACUGUAGCGUAUUUCACCCGUGUAGUAAAAUUGUCCACCAUCUUCAUUCUUCAGCUUCUUUUUAAUCGGGCCCCAUACAUGAAUGGACCUUUUCUGGGCCUCCGUCCACUACUCCACUGUAAUAUAGCCCAGUAACAGUUUACUCUCUCUAUCUUUCCCCGGCACCCCCCUCCCCCCCCCCCCCCCCCCCCCCCCCCCCCACACACACACACACACACACGCACACAAUUUCCCCAUCACAAUCACACGCUAGUAGUAAAAUGCACGCAUGGUCCACGUGCUAUACAAUAGUAGUACUGUACUAGGCACCUUUCAUCCGUCGGUUCGCCGGUCCCCAUCUGUCAGUACAAACCGAUACGAUCACGAGAUACACACGCAGACAUGCUCAUGCAUGCAUACAAAAAUCUCGAAAAUCCAAACACUUGUCCAGUAAAGGUGCUCCGAACCUCCUUUCAAAAAAAACGGUGCUCCAAACCAGAAAACAUACGCCUAGAAGCAAAUCUGAAAAUGCAAGGACUUUAAACCUUAUGCCCAAGCUUCAUAUAUAUGGUAAGAGCACGUGCUACAUAUAUACUCAUGUUUUCUUUCGCCAAAGAAAAAAAGGCCAGCAAAUUAUAGCCCGGUACUCCUCCAAAUUUUCAAUGUUUUUAAGCAACCGACGACGUCAAACAUGCAUCUGAGAGCGGAGGUAGUGUGAUAUCGCAGCGGACGUAGUUACGUCAAACCUGUUCAGGCCAAAGAAUAUUGGGAAAGAGCAAAUUAGAUUUUUUUUCCCACUAUUUAUGAUACGAUUAUUCACUAGUGGAAAAGUGAGCAUGAGUUCCGGUUGCGUAGGUGUCGAAAAUCGAACCAGGACUAAUCUUUCAAGAUUAAAAAUCCCCCUCGUUCCAGUUGGCACUACCAACCGGAACUAAAAAGGUUAAAAAAGAAAAAAGUGGGGCACCCCGUCCUGCUUGCUUGCGCUGCUGCCCCCUGCAGCUCCGCCUCCACCACCGUACCAUCUUAUUGAACUCCAACUCCAUCAUAGAGACAAUCAAAUCAAGAGCAAAAAACAAUUGGCGUUAACAUUGAAGCAAGAAUCAUGCUCAUCUCACAUGACCAUCACAUAAGUAAAAACACAACCAAUCAAUUUGCACAAGAUCUAAUUCACAACACAUGAUUUCGAUUCGAUUCACAACAUGCGGAGAAUUCAUCAGCAUAAUCACAAAUGAAUCAUUCACAAACAAAUCGUGCACCUGCCAACCGUCUAGCCUAGCAAACAUCACCGUCCUGUAUCAAUAGUCCUUACUGCAUGUGUAGUAGAAGAUUCCAAAUUUUCAUGCACGACGACACCGUACGAAAAUUUGGGUGGAUUUCAAUUCAACAGUCCUUAACGAAAGUUAAUAAAAAAAGACAAAAGCAUGCAGGAUAAUGUAAACCGGUCGUCGUGCAGGAGCACACACGAAGCAACCACUUCGAGAGCGCGACGCAUGCAGAAGCCCAUGCAGCAGGAAGCGAGCCUUCUUCUUCCUGGGUGGGCUUCUUUUUUUUUCUUUCCGGACCAAGUCACCGAGUCCAUGUUUUCUCGGGCCUAAACUAAAGGUGAGUUUGGGAGGGCACGUCGGUACGUAUGUGCUCCGCACGCGGAGCUGGAGCUGCGGUACUUUUUUUUUUCUCCUGGUUCCUCCACGCAGCUUCUUUUGAACUCCGGCUCCUCUACGAGAUGUUCACAAGCAGCUUCGGCGCCGUGAGUCCGUGACCGUUUGGCGCGGAUCCGCCGGCUUCUCCGUGCCUUGGCGAGCGUGCGGAGCCGGAGCUCCGGCUCCCAAACAGGCACAUGGUUGGGUGCGUGUGAUUUGCUUUGGCGAUUAUUUUUCUUUUCAUUUUUUUUAGGGCAGUUUCCACCUUUUUCUUUUGGGCGUGUCCGCUGGUCGUGGGUUGGCUCCAAAAAAGGCAAAAACGAAGCGAUGCGCGGUGCGCGUGGGCGUGGCGGCACUUCCUUCGAUCCUCCGCCUCCGCCAUGGUCAUGGCGCACGCCAAGCCCACCGCGCACGAGACCUUGCCGCCGCCGCCGCCGCCGCUGCGGCUCCUCGUCCUCCUCGCGCUCCUCGCCGCCUCCUACCUCGCCCUCACGCGCAUCCCCGCCGCCGCGCCUCUGUCCGCGCUCCUGAUCGGACGUCAACCUCUUCCUCCUCCUCUUUCUGCUCCUCCUGCGCCCCUCCUCAGCAGCAAAAGCAGCAGCUGCGCCGGGUUCUACGCCGGCGCGGGCCCGGCGCGCGCGGUGGCGGCGUCGGUGGAGGAGUUCGGCGCCGUGGGCGACGGGGUCACCUCCAACACGGCGGCGUUCCGGCGCGCGGUCGCGGACCUGGAGGAGAGGGCCAGAGGGGUCGGAGGAGGAGGAGGAGGAGCCAGGCUGGAGGUGCCGCCGGGGAGGUGGCUCACCGGCAGCUUCAACCUCACCAGCCGCUUCACCCUCUUCCUGCACCGCGGCGCGGUCAUCCUCGGCUCCCAGGUGCCCCCCCUCCUCUCAUGUCCUGGUUUAAUUCCUCUCCCCUUCUUCACCUGCUCGUUUCAAUUCUGAUUCGAUUUCUCGUCUCCUUAUUACGAACAUUGCAACCGCAACGGAUUGGCUGCACAGCUAGUGGUUUGAAAUUUUCGCGUUUCAGCUCAAGCGCACACCAAAAUGCGUGCGUAAUUUGUUGUCCAAUCACCAUGGAUAGUUGCAUAUUACGAUUCAUCGGUUCAGAAAUUGCUCUGCCAAAACCUGCAUAGCGCUUGGAAUAUCGGUUCAUGUUCUCGUCGGUUGGGUUGCGCGUCUCAAAGUCAAAACCAGCUGCGUGUUUUCACAUGCCACGAUCCGUGGGAUCAAUAAAGAAGAAGGGGAGAAGAAACAGGGGGGAGCUGAUGUGUUGGAGGAGUCACAUGCUUGGACGGCCCGGAGACUGACUGCUGCUCUGGUUCCUUGUGACCUCUGCCACCACAUUUGAUAUUAUUCCAAACCCACUGUACCUUUGCCUUUGUCCCUACUGCUGCCUGGGACUGGACUGGCCCCCAGUUGAUGCCUCCUUGUACUUUACAUUGCUUCCACUCCCGUCUUAUCUGUUUGUGCUAAAGCCAAUAGAGGGUCACACAAAAAUCUCCAGUUUGGAGCUUUGUGCAGGAAGAACCAAUCCCCAUUUCUUGGUCCAUCUCAUAGCCAUGCCAGCGUGACAAUCUGUACGGACUAUGCAGGAUUAAUCUGUACCGACUAAUCAGGAUAUGGGGCAGUUUAACCUGCCCGAAUGCACUGCACUCAUUAUUCAUGUGGAGGUGGUUCAGUAGGAAUUGGUUGCAAAGGAGCUAUAAUUGAGAACGUAGCAGUUCUCCUGCUAAUUUCGCUUUUUGAAAAAAGGAAAGCACAAGUACAUGGGAACGCUCAACCAUAAUCAAGAGGUUUAGUUUGGUACGACGCCCUUUCACAUGUUGCUGCCCACAGUGCAAUCACCUUCCACAUGUUUAGUUUUGUGAAUGUCUUUCAGAAGUAGGCGGCUCAGUGUUCUUAGGAAAUUCAUGCUUGGUUUCCAACUAAUAAAUAUUGCAAAUGAUGACAGUUCCCAUAAACUGGUAUAGGAGAAGAACUUGCUGGGAACUGGUGAGUUUCAGCUGGAACAAACUCAUAAUUGCAAACCUGAACAAUGAUGCCGGACGCCUUACGUUUUUUUCCCAGCUAAUGCCAAUUCCAAAAACACUGUGCCCGCAGAUCUAUGCCUAGUUUGUUAUUGCAUUUGUUUGAACCAAGGCAAGCAACAUUCACAUAGAAAGACAGUUGCAUGAUCUGUACUAUACUGUAGGCUCAUCAAGUCAAUAUAAUACCGACAUGAUGGCAUUAUAAUACCAAUAGGAUAGCAUGGGUAAACAAUCUUUAAGGGGACUAUGUGCUGGAUUCUAUAGAUUGAAUAUUUAUUUUUUUUCGAGAAUACGAAGGAGAGCUGCGUAUCUUUGUAUUAAGAAGAUGAACGUUCGAAAAAGUUUUAGUACAACGCGGGCUGACCGGGCGCACGCACACGGCAACGUACUCUAGGAGUUUAACUUAGAUUGAAUAUUUAUGUAUUCACAUUUAAGUAGACGAAUGUCCAGCACUUUACAAUUGUGUAUGCUGAUUAUAAAACUGCAUAAUAUUGAUUGGCAUGUUCGACUGAUAUGCAGGAUCCAGAAGAGUGGCCUCUCAUUGCUCCUUUGCCAUCUUAUGGGCGUGGAAGGGAACGCUUAGGGCCACGGCACAUCAGCCUCAUUCAUGGAGAGGGCUUAAAUGAUGUUGUUGUUACUGGUACGAUGACUUCUUAACUAUGUCUACUUUAUUUCAAGAUUCAUUAACAAAUCAAAAUUUGCAUGGCAAGGUGGAACUGAAACAAAGAUUAGUGAUGGAGUUAAACGAAAUCGUCUCAUUUCAACAAUGGCAUAGACUUAAAUUUUAAUUGAUGAUAUCGUAUCUAAGGAUUAGCGUUGAUUUAUAACUUAAAAAUUCCCUUCCCAAAUAUCAGGCAACAAUGGGACCAUAGAUGGCCAAGGAGGGAUGUGGUGGGAGCUGUGGUGGAAUCGAACUUUGAACCACACAAGGGGCCAUCUCGUCGAGCUUGUGAACUCAAGCAACAUCCUAAUCUCCAAUAUCACACUACGCAACUCCCCAUUCUGGACAGUGCAUCCAGUCUACUGCAGGUCAGUUUACCAUGUACAUUCUUGCUCCAUUUCCUAACAGGAAAUGCUUCUUCAUUUUGAUUCUAUUAAAGCCAAGUAUUGAGCAGGAGAUUUCUUUUAUGUUUAUUUAUCAGCAACGUGGUGAUGAAAGAUUUGACCAUACUGGCUCCACUGAAUGCUCCAAACACUGAUGGCAUUGAUCCAGGUUUGUGCUGUUAUUUUCAUCACCUUUUCCUAUUAUCUUCUUCGUUCUGAUAAUUGAUCAAUUCAAACAGCUGCAUCUCAUGGUUUUCUAUACAUUUGGGAUCUUUAGCAGCUGGAAUGUUUCAUAUCCGUAUGUCACUACUGAUGACCUUGCCAAUCUCUCUUGAUGAACAAUGACAGAUUCGAGCUCAGAAGUUUGUAUUGAGGACUGCUAUAUUGAAAGCGGAGAUGAUCUGGUUGCUAUCAAAAGUGGCUGGGAUCAGUACGGGAUCUCUGUUGGCAAACCGAGUACAAACAUUGUCAUACAGAGGGUUUCAGGCACAACUCCAACAUGCUCAGGUGUUGGCUUUGGAAGCGAGAUGUCAGGAGGCAUAUCUAAUGUGCUUGUCCGCGAUCUGCAUGUGUGGAGUUCUGCUCAAGCCGUGAGGCUCAAGACCGACAUAGGGCGCGGUGGGUACAUAACCAACAUUACCAUAGUGAAUGUGACGAUGGAGAAGGUCAAGGUCCCGAUAAGAUUCAGUCGGGGUGCGGAUGACCAUUCAGAUGACAACUAUGACCGAACCGCGCUGCCAAGGAUCAGUAACGUGCUCAUCAGCGACAUUGUGGGUGUAGACCUGCAGCGUGCGCCGAUGCUGGAGGCAGUGGCCGGCGCAGUUUAUGAAGGGAUCUGCUUCCGAAAUGUUAGCUUAAGAGGCAUAAGGCGGCAGGAUAGAUGGCAUUGUGAGUCCGUGUAUGGAGAGGCACGUGGAGUUUUUCCUGCACCCUGUGAAGAGUUCAGGAGCAAUGGAUCUUCAUCAUGGUGUGGAUUUUCAUGAGCAACUGUGAGUUUUCUAGUGACUGAUACAGGCAGGAAUACUUGAAAAAUGGAGGGUGUUCAUACUGGUGUUCCAAGAAGGGAUAGGACAUAGGGUUUUGGGAUAGUAUAGUCAAAUUCAACAUUUUAACUUUAGUCUUCAAUUUUACAAGGGGGGUUACAGACAACAUGUUUGUGCAGUACUGCAAAGGGAAAUGAAGAAUUAAUACAGAAAAAAGUUAUUUUCUGGUCCAUUUUCCUACAUGUGAUGGUGCUAUGUACUAGUUCUUGAAUCCUUCAUCAUGUUAGGCAGUAUUCAGUCUGAAUCUAAUCUUCGUCUUCUUUUAAAAGAGGCCUGAAUCUAAUCAAUCUGUUUACUCCGUGUGUUUAAUUACUGCGCUUAGAAUGUUUGAAAUCUGGAGCGCGGUAAACGGAACUUCUUCGCCCCCGCGUCGUCCGCACGGGGCGGCUCCGGCGGUUCCCCCGUCCUCAGCAGCCCUCCCACGCUGGACGCAGGUGGCACGUCACGUCAGCUUGCAGAACGGGUCUGCAACGGGUCAAAGCUCGUUUGGAUCUACGAUGGCACCCAAAACCAAGUUUAAAGUUGACCCAAAACCAAGUUUAAACCAACUUUAGUAACCUGAUUCUGCAAUUUAAGAGGGUGAGGACCUAAAUGACACACCUUGACAAGUUAGAGGAUCGACCAUGUAUUUCACUCUUAAAAAAAUGUUUGAAAUCUACAGCAACAGGUCAGGCUAAUGGUUUACGCUUUGGGUCAAACGCUAACGCUUGUAUAUGUACGCCUAACUGAAAGUCUGAAACCCGGAUCUGCUGCCGUAAUUAUUCAGACUGCUUGCAUCAUGUACGCAGUCUGGAUUAAUCACUUGAUGACGCAUCAUGCAGGUAAGUCGUACAUACGUGAUACGUCCGUCACUGAAUCUGUAAUCUUUUUCACUCACCAUUUGUUUUUGUACUACAUAUGGAUGAUGUGGAGCGUUGUUAUUGGACAAAAAAUAAUCCAUUACAAUCUUUCAGUCGAUUUUUUUCUCUCUUCCUUGGUCGUCCUCCUGUUUUCGGCUGAGAUUUCAAUUUUGCAUCACUCAGUCUUCUGGGCUUCUGGAUGUGCUAUGCGGGUCUGUGGGUGUGGCACGUCGGGCCGCAUCGAUCGGUUCGCCGCCCACCAAAAAGCCCAGGUUGCCCACUCCCUCCAUUUGCUUGCCCGGGCCCAACCAGCCCAGCGACUGCCGGCUGGUCUUUCUGUGCAAAGCUCGCCUUUCCAUUUAAAAAAAAAGCCCAACCAGCCCAGCAAGCGAACCCUCCUAACCCCCCCCCCCCCCCCCCCCCCCCCCCCGUGCCCGAGUCCGUCCCCACCUCCAUCCAGCUCGCUCGCUAGGGUUACCUUACCGCCGCGCCGCCCUCUCUCUCAUUUGCACUCGCCUCUGCUUCUCCAUCUCGUUCACGCCGGCGGAGGACCCUCUCCCACUCGUGCUCAUCGUUCCCCUCGCCGUCAGUUGCUCCACCGCCGGGCUCCUCCGCAGCUUCUGGUGGUACACCCUAGAUCUGUUGUAUUUUUUUCCUGCGUGGCGCGGAUCUGUGGUGCGAGGCUGGGAUUUAUGCAUCUCGUUUCCUUUUGCUUGUUAAUUGUUGUAUGAGCUGCGACACCCUCAACCAGGCCUUGUCUGGCAUGGUUUGCGCAACCUUUGAUGUUCUUGCUGCUUGUUCCUGCUGCGUUGCGUUGUUCAACUGCCUGAAAAUUAAACAUGUUGUACGGCUGAUGGUGGCCUCCUUUGUGAGCUGCCAAAAUCCAAAAAAAGGAUAGGGUGUUCAACCGACCGCCCAUGUCCAACUUAAGUCCGCCCGUGGUUGAGUAGUGAAGUAGGGGUUAUCACUCAGGAGCAUCUGUGAACUUAUAUUUUGGAAUUUGUGUGCCUGCACUGCACAUGUAUUCUCGGUAGAUGAUGCAAUAUAGCUAUAAUGCUGGCUUCAUUAGCCGGUUUCAUUUCAUGCAUGGAUGAUGUGUUUUCUGUUUUUUUUUAUGCAGUUGCUAUUGAGUUAGCACUGAAUAAGACACUAGGUUUACCCGAGCAUCAUUGUGCAGUUUCCAAGAUGGCUCGCCGAGGAUUGAUGGAACAGGACUUAAGCAAGCUUGAUGUGACAAAGCUUCACCCAUUGUCACCUGAAGUUAUCUCACGCCAAGCGACCAUUAACAUUGGUAUGGAUCCAAUCCUGUUACUCCUGUGGAUUCAGCAAGGCCUAUGUGUAGUAUUCAAAUUUUAUGCAAAGAGAAGCCUCCUACAUUGGCAUAACAUUCUUCUAUAUCUCAGGUACCAUCGGCCAUGUGGCUCAUGGAAAGUCCACUGUUGUGAAAGCUAUUUCUGGAGUUCAGGUGUGAUUCGCAUUCGACAUAUUCCAGUAUCACAUUUUCCUUCCAAGCAUUGACUCUGCAGUAACUGCUUAUGUGUUCUCCAUGUUACUCCAACAUGUGAUGAUUAGACGUGCCUUUUAGAGUUUGGUACAUUAGUGGGCAAAUU